Molecule: long non-coding RNA, 78683 nt
Filed under: Triticum aestivum (bread wheat)
Lineage: Eukaryota; Viridiplantae; Streptophyta; Magnoliopsida; Poales; Poaceae
Description: long non-coding RNA (TAES_LNC024803)
Rfam family: Small nucleolar RNA Z221/R21b (bases 1159-1250)
Source: RNAcentral
AACCAUCAUUUUCUUAAGUUUUGCCAAUGAUGAUUUUGUCUGCAAAAUGUAUGCUCUGUGGAUUCAAGCCCCUGUUUCAGGGAGAACCUCUUGAUGAAGCAGAUAUAAUGUGACAUCAAUUGACAAAUCUGAGACAAUAGUUUGUGCUAGUGGAUUUAAUUGAGAUUUGAGUUUUUAUUUAGCUUCCUUAGUUGCAUGAUAUGUAUAAAUUAUAUAUCGUUUUCCUAUGAUGAUCCUGUCUGCAAAAUGGAUGCCCUGUGGACUCAAGCCCCUGUUUCAGGGAGAACCUCUUGAGAAAGCAGAUGUAAAAUGACAUGAAAUGACAAAUCUGAGAUUUUCCAUAUUGUGCUUCCUAGUAUUAUGACAUCAAUCGACAAAUCUGAGGUAUUCCAUGACAUUGUGCUUCCUGCUGAAGCAAAAGGCUAUGAUGAGAAAAGUCAUGCACCACUCUGAAGAGAUUCAUCUCUUUGUGCUGAUAAACAAACUUACAACCCAUUUUACAUCUGAGCCACCUCUUGGAUACCUACUUUCGUAUUUCUUUAUUUGCUUUUCAUGCCAUAGAUGGUAGUUUUUAUAAACCAGUUUGGGGAAAUAAUGUACAUUACCAGAUGAUGAGGGUUGCCCAAGUGCAAUCCUACCAUGAUGCGGACUGAAAUUUCAUUGAGGUCAAAUACAUUUGCCGCUGAUGGUUCUUACUUUACAAUCCCGCAUAUUUUGAAUGCCAGCGCAGUUCUUGGUAACUUCUUUCGUGAACCUUGUUGCAUUGCAUGUGAAUUACUUUGUUUUCUGUUGAUAUUUAUGUCUGCAAAAUAGGUGCUUUGUAGAAGCAAAGGCUAUGAUGAGAAAAGUCAUGCACCACUCUGAAGAGAUUUAUCUCCUUGUGCUGAUAAACAAACUUACAACCCAUUUUACAUCUGAGCCGCCUUACGUGUUUGUAUUUUCUGAUUUGUCUAUUGGUUUUUGAGAAACCUAGUAUUUUAAGGUAAUAACUGUAUUGGAGGGAUAAUAACAGAACCAGAUGAUGAGGAUUGCCUAUGAGCGAUCCUACCAUGAUGCGGACUGAAUUUACAUUGAGGUCAAAUACAUUUGCCGCUGAUGGUUCUUUCCAAUCCCCCAAAUCUUGAAUGGAUUUUCCCCUUGGUUUUCCAGUGAUGAUAAUGGCUAUGAUGAGAAAAGUCAUGCACCACUCUGAAGAGAUUUAUCUCUUUGUGCUGAUAAACAAACUUACAACCCAUUUUAUUUCUGAGCCAUCUCAUGACUUUUGUAUUUUCUGAUUUGUUUAUUGGUUUUGAGAAACCGUUUUCAGCUUUUGCCUUUGUGAGAAUACUGUAGUUUUGAAACUGUAAGUCUUGGAUAUUAACUGGAUUUGGAGGAAUAAUGUAUAGAACCAGAUGAUGAGGGUUGCCUGUGAGCGAUCCUACCAUGAUGCGGACUGAAUUACAUUGAGGUCAAAACAUUUGCCGCUGAUGGUUCUUCUUCCCAAUCCUCCAUAUCUUUCAAUGGUUUUUCCUCAUUGUUAUGAAUGUACUGGGAAUUUGGUUCAAAACAAAUGGAGUGGCCUCUAGUUUGACAACCUUGUUGCAUUGUAGAGGAAUGCUCAAGUCCCUGUUUUCACUGAAUUACUUGCGGUUUUGCCAAUGAUGUUUCUGUCUGCAAAAUGGACUCUCGAGCCCCUGUUUCCAGGGAGAACCUCUCGAGAAAAUGACAUCAAUCGACAAACCUGAGGCAUUGUAAAACCAAAAAACUUUUACUGGAGCUUGUAUUUCCUAAUUAAGUGUUUCAUCUCUUCUUUUUUUGACAAUUGUACUCGCCAAUCAUGCAUCAGCUUUGCUUACAUGUGGUUUCUCAAAUGUAUUUUCUUUCUCCUGAUUGCAGAAAGCCAUUUCAUGCGCAAAGAGCUGCUGAACCUACUGGAUGAUAUGAAGCAUAUGGUGCUCUCCUUCUGGAUCAUGAUUGUAGCCUUGUACCAAUGAUACAGAGGGAACAUUGUACUGUGAUCUGUAGGCUUGCCUGGUCAUGUUGGCCAUAGUCUCUUGUAAUUCUUGUGAGAAUUAUUGACAUGCACAUAUUUUAACUACCUCCCAUUUGUUGUUGUGCCUGAAAUUUUGGGGGCAAUCAUGCCUGAAGUGUGGACGGUUAGACCAGCACUCGAUAAAAUUUGUUUUGAUGCCCUCUUCUAUGAUCAAAAUGAGCAUUGUGGUGUAAGAUCACAUUUGUUGCACAUACAUGCGAUGGUCAUCUUAGCCCUUGCCUCAAACUUUUUUUUUUUUGAACGUAUAUGGUGCUUAAAUAACAAAACAGUUGAACCCAAAAAAUUGAACUAAAAUGGUGCCUAUUUUGAACUAAAACGAACUAAUCUUUGAUAGAGCUUGGUUUUGGGUUCAACUGAUAAUGUUGGACCUGGAGCUCGCCUUGAACCCAAAACUGAGUUGUCGCCUCUUCGAAUGUAAUGUUGGACCUGGAGCCGAGCAUGGUGCUUGGGGGAAGUUUCUCAUUUUUGGCAAGAGGGGCGUUUGUAAAUCCUGAAAUUUUAUUGAAUUCGAAAAUUUAGGUGGAGCGGUAAAUAAGUUAAAUCUAAAAAACGGUUUUUAGUGAGUUAGAACAUGAUUUGGGCCGUCGUGCGGUUGUGCUUUGGUGGUCAACGAUGGACACAUGGCGCUGCAACAAUGGUUCCGAUGAUUUGCGCAUCCUAGGUGGCCCAAAAAUGUUGGCCUUUAUCUUUUUGGGGAUUGAUGAGGUCUGUGCCCAAGCUUUGAACCGACUCAUGUCAGUGCCUGCAUUGGCGGUGCCUUUGGGUGCUCUCUUUGGAGGCAUUGCGGCUCUUUGGGUAAAAAGCUAAGCUCUGGAUAGUUUUCAGAGCGGGCGACGGCGGUGUCUUCAUCGUCUCCCCUUUAGAGGCGUUGCUUGGGAGAGCUAGUUUGCUUGUUGUGCGUGGUUUCUCCUUCGUCGGGUUUGGAGGAUGUCGGGGCAGUGGCCCCGGGAGGCUGAUGUGCGUCGAGGCUAUGGCCUCGGGCAAUGAUGUGGGGAGACGACUCCAUGAGGCGGGGUAAAGACUCAACCUUCGCUUGGGUGGCAGGUUUUUCGGCUCGGUCGACGCACCCGGUUUGACUUUAUAUCCGGGCGAUGGCUCCAGAUGUGGUGGGGUAGCAGUCGUGUUUGCGGGUGGUUGCCCUGAGCGGCUUGGGUUGGGGUGGUCAGGUCGUGUGGAGUGGCAACUCGAGGGCAAGCGGCGGCAUGUCGGGGUGGUGGCCGCGGAAGACUGUGUUGGUGAACCGCGCAGGAUGUGACAGCGUGGAUGGAAGUCGGGGUAGUGGCCCCGACCCCCGAGAGUUCAGCAACAUCGAUUGUGUUGACCCCAUGUCGCGUGGCGGCGCGGUUGCUCUCAACAUUGGUCGUCGACAUGUCGAACGUCACAUUUGGCGCAGAGUCCUAUGGAGGGCUUGCAUCUUCACCGCUGCAGGGGUGUCUCGUGUCUGCUUUUUGACAGUGGUGGGAGGCCGACUAGCAUGGUGGAGUGGGUCACCGUUGGUUUGAUUGUAAUUUGUUGGCGUGUUUCUGUGAUGUUUUGUCCCGCCGUUGAUGAGAGUGGGUGUGGCCCCAUUAUGUCUGUUUUUGAGUGGGCUUUCGCCAUGUGCCGAGAGCGGGUGCGGCCAUGCGGAGUCUUUGCUCGAGUAGGUUUGGUCAUGUUUGUAUCGGUUUUCACUAGAUUUUUUGUAAUUAACCGUGCAAUAUUUUUCUUCUUAGUUAUUUAAAUGGACAAACGCCGGAUGCGCGUUGAUUUAGCAAGAACAAUAUGCUUCUCUUCAGCUGCUCAACAAUAAAUAAAAGCGACGAUCCACCAGCACAAGCGGAUGCACGAGGCUAGCUAGGGAAUGCAAUGCAUGGAAGCUUCAUCGAUCAUCCGAGUUGCGUUUUGAACCGAGUUCUCCCCGCCCCCCAACGAUUUUCCUCCUCCGCCUCUCCCCGCUUCCAGAUGGCGCCACAUCGUACGUGCCUAUGCGCGCGCCCAAGUUCCCGACGGCCGGCGACGACGGCGCUCGCAUCCCGGUCCUGCUCGCCCUCGCCGCCGCCGCCGUCGUACACCCCGGGCGCGCGCUCGCCUCCGUCCCGCUGCGGCAUCAUGCUGGCAGACCACCCCUUCUUCCCUGGCUUCGGCGUGGGCGACGAGCGCUGCAGCCGGCCGUAUGGCGGGCACUACGAGGAGUACACAUCGCAGGAUUACACUCCGUCGGCCCCUCCGCCGUCGCCGGAUCACACUUCGCCGGGCCCUCCGCCGUCGCCCGACUACGCUCCCUCGUGCCCUCCGCCGUCGCCGGAUUACUCUCCCUCGGGCCCUCCGGCGUCGCCGGAUUACGCUGCCUCGGGCCGUCCGCCGUCGCCGGAUUACGCUCCCUCGUGCCCUCCGCCGUCGCCGGAUUACGCUGCCUCGGGCCGUCCGCCGUCGCCGGAUUACGCUCCCUCGUGCCCUCCGCCGUCGCCGGAUUACACUUGGUCACCAGAGCCUGCUGCUUGGUUCGCUUCCCCGGCGACGACGCCUUCUCCGCGACCCGCGUCCCCAGACCCAGAGUACACGCCGUCAGAGCACGCUGCUGCUGCAUCACCUUACUACACUUGGUCAACUCCUCCUCCGCACGCUUCUUCUCCGGAUUACACGCCCAAUACGCCGUCUCCGCCCCCCUGGUGCUGGUGCUGCUCUCCGGCGCCGAGUCGCGCGCGCCGCCGUAUCACACACCGCCGCCUCCUUCUGGCGGCGCCGCGUCGCCGGACUACACGCCCAGCAUGCUGCCUCUGUUGCCCAUGGUGUUAAUUAGAAGCCUUGUCGCCCACGUCGGCACCGCGUCGCAGCCACCAGAGGAGAUCAAUCGCGGCGGACGUCGGCGAGCCUUGGGAUGUUGGCAUCUUGUAAACUGUAAUAGGAGAGAAACAUAUUGACAUAUUGUAUUACUCUGCAUCAAAAGAUGAAUAUAUUGGUAUAGCUUUUGUUGAAGAUGCGAGAUUGUUCUCUUCUUUUGCUUCCUGUUUUUUAUGGCCGGAGCCCUUUGUUUCUGAUGGAUGCAAAUUGUAAUUGCCUACGUGAUUUGAUGAAAGUCAUCCUGGCACUUGUCAUGUUCUGUGACUGUCAUGUCUGAGAGAAGCAUAUGGUCGCCCUGCAAAGACAAUAGGGAUGCAUAAUAAUGAUGUAGUACAAACAAAUCUGUGUGGCUUGCACAUAAAAUUUCAAGUGAACAUCUCUCAAAAAAAAAUCCAACUGGACAAAAAAUUAGAUGAACCUUUUCCGAGUAAAGCAAGCAGCAUUGCAGAAAUGUUACUCAUACAUUAAAAAUCAAAAUUAUUUUAUGUAGACCUUUAUUUGGUUGUGCACAUAGCCAACUGAAAGUUUUAACAUAGACGCACAACAUUCUUCUCGGUUUCAUCAGAAUAUUUCUUUGCUCAUAGCGAGCCCGAGAAGGAAGCUCGAUCAUGUUCUCUUGGAAAUGCAUACUUUGUUAGAUAGUUCCUUACCUACUUCUUUCAAAUAUUGCAGCAUUUGUUUGGUCUCAUUGACAAGCAUUGUGUUUCAACCAAAGCAGCCACUUUCCCGCAUACUGGUACUUUCAAGUAUUCAUCGGUGGCCUCCAGAUUGCAGAACUUUUUAUCUAAAAUUUGUCUUCACAAUAACUGCACAACGCCCUGGAAUGCAUCAUGGUAAAUGUUUCUGGAUGAGAAUCCCAACAGCAGUAUAGCACUGAUCCUUCACGCUCUGUUCAUCUUUCUUUUGAUGGCUCUAGCUGGAGCAGAAAAAAAAACAUAGACGAGGAAUUAAGGUAAAUAUUUUUUUACAGGAGAGAUCGAGGCAUGUGCAAUGUAUUUUUACAGUCAGCAGUUCCUGGGAGAGGCACAAAACAUGCUUAAUAGCCCUGAAGUAAAAUCAAAUAGGUUUUUCUUGCAACGGUCGCUAAAUUUUCAAAAUGCAAAUGCAAGCAUUUAACUAAGAGCAAUCCUAGUUUUCUGUAACAUUAUGAAGAGAGAGAGAGAGAGAUCAUAGGUUAGUUGAAAUUUUAAGAGUGAACAAAAUAGUAAGUAUCAUCGACAGAGAGAAAAUGCAGUGCAUCAACUAUCUCACAGUUAUUAAACAAACUAUUUUAUAUCUGGUUUGUGUUGCACUCCUUGGUCACGCCUUCUUGUUGCAUAAAUGCAUAAACGCUGAGAUUGGGUAUUCCCAGAGGCAAGCAGCCAAGUACUUGGCCACAAACUUGGAUACUCUGAAUAGGCCUGAAUAUGUGAUGUGUAACAAAAAAGGGGGAAACUCAUAUGACCCUCAGGCCUCAAACUUGUCAUUUUAAUUUUGAAUGUGGCAUCAUCAAACAGCAGCGAUGAGUGGUACGAAGUUUAAAGCAUACUGUAUCAAUUGUCAGCUGAAAUUCUCACAAGGCUGGUACUUUACCGGAAGCAAUUUUAUGUGCUCCCUUAAUUUCCCUUUCCCCGAGAAGGGAGACACAAUUAACAAAAUCGUCGAAACAUCAAGUGACAGCUGUUUUGCAUCAAGUUUAGCCAGAUAAGUUGCAGCCUCUGCAACUGCACAUUUUUCCAGCAACACCCUGACCGCUUGAUUUAGUAGUCUGGGACUUAUGUUUUGAUCCUGUCCCUUGAACAACAAUGGGCGGCCCACAUUUCCUGGAAUCUAGUAGCACACAAGAUCUCUCGUGUGCGAGGCUCAUGUACCAAGCAAUUUUGUUUCCCCUUGACUGCUCAAAUCUGGAAGAGUUUUAAGCUUUUUGGCUCCAGAACAAUGUCAAAAUUCAUUCCUGUUGGUGUGGAGCCUUUUCAGAACAUGGUCUAGAGCAUGAUGCGAUGCCUCGGUGUAGCCUAUGGCAUGUCUUCGCACUUCCAGUAAAUCUUUCGCACCUCUUCAUGUCUUUGCACCACUGAGAAGUGAGAACAAACAUCAGCGGCUCAGGCAAACAGCGUCUGAAACUUCACUCUUCUCUUGAUGCUGCCAGAUCUUUCAUACCCAAUGCCUAUCUUACUAUGCACCAGCUUGACAGCUAGAUCAGUAUUCCCCGCUUUCCUGAGUGCGUUGAUCAUCAUUGUUCGAACCCUGCCAGGUAUCUCACGGCCCUUUCCUACGAUGCCAUCUGCCAAUUUGCAGGCCUGCUUGAAUCUGCCGGCCCUGCACAGAGCAUUGAUCAUGUCCUCGUGUGCCGUCUCAGGAAUCACACCCAUUGGAGCCAGUUCAUCCAAUAUCCUGCAUGCUCGGCUGUAUUUGCCAGAAAGACAUAGCCCGUUGGCAAGGGCCCUGAAAGCUGCAGCUGUGGGAGUGAUCCCCUUGUCGAUCAUCGCAUCCCACAACUUCAGCGCCUCCUCAUUCUUGUGUUCCUUGAACAAACCAUCGAUCAGUAUGGUAUACGUGUAAACAGUCUGAUCACAGCCAUCAUCUUCCAUUCUCUUGUACAAGGCACAAGCAUCAUCCGUCCUUCCUGCUUUAGCUAAACCAUCAAUCAGCACGUUGUAGCAAUAUGAGUCCGGCACAAAACCUUUAACUUUCAUCUCCUCGAAGAGCUCCUGUGCUUGGUCGACCAUUCCAGCUUUCCCAAAGCCAUCAAUCAGGCUUGUAUAGAAGAUAGGGUUCACUGCAAUACCUUUCUCCACACAACUCCUGAAACAUGAAAUGGCCUCAUCCAGCCUCCCAAACCGGCACAAGCAGUUAACAAUCACUCCAUAUGUGACGGCGUCGAGCUCAAGCCCGCUACUCUUCAUCCUCUCAAAGAGUGACAUUGCCUCGGUCUCCCUUCCAAAUUUACCCAUUGAAUCAAUGAGCGCAGUGUACAUGGCUGCUUUGGCUGGGCAACCACGCUUCAGCAUUCUCUCGAACACGGCCAUCCCCUCAAACGGCUUCCCAUCCUUGCAGAGCGCGCCGAUCACCAGCACAUAUGCAUGCUGCGGAAUGUCCUUGCCAAUUCCCCUCUCUUCCAUUUCUUGGAACAAUGCCACGCACUGUGAAAACGUGCCCUCGCUGUAAUGGCACUGCAUCAGUGUAAGGUACGUUAUCUUGUCGGGCGACAGCUCCUCCUGUUCCCUCAUGUGAUCGAGCCGAGCCAUCGCAUCCUGCACCCUCCCGGCGCGGCAGUACCCCUUGAUGAGAAUGUUGUAGGAGACCACGUCAGGGCGAACCGGGUCUUCCGUGGACAUUGCGUCGAACACGUUGACGGCGGUGUCAAGGAGGCCCGCGUUGACGAGGCCGUCGAGGAGGCAGUUGUAGGUGACCCUGGACGGCUCGACGCCGGCGAGGCGCAUGCCGUUCCACGCCCACAGCAGCUCGUCGGCGAGGCCGAGGGCCGCGAGGCUACGGACCAGCGACGCGGCCGACGGCGGCGUGAGGUGCCGCAGCAGGCCGUCCCCGUCCCCGCGGGCGCGCAGCUCGGCGACGAGCCGCCCCGCGUGGCCGGCGGCGUCGGGGGUGGCCUCCCUGGCGCGCGCGAAGGAGUGGAGCAGCGAGACGUAGCAGCCGAGGAGGUGCUGCGGGUGGGCGGCGAGGUCGUCGGUGCCGCCGGGCAGGGCGCGGAAGAAGCGGAGCGACGGGAGCGGGUGGGGCAGGAGCUGCGGGGAGCGCAGCGCGGCGGCGACGAAGGCCGGGGAGAGGCGCAGGAGGAAGGUGCGGCAGAAGGCGCGCAGGUCGGCGGCGAGCGUGGCAGGCGGCGCGCGGAGGACCAGGGAGACGACGCGCGGCAGCCACGGCGACGGGGUGGGCGGCGCGGCCGAGGAGGCGGUGUACGGGCUCGGGUCGGCGAGGUCGGUGUACGGCUCGAUCCACUCCGGCGGAGGGUGGCCGCCGCCGUGGGGGCCCGACGCCCGCCGGCCGCGCGGGACGCUGCAGAACCUUCGCAUCGCUGCAGAGGUGUUGGACGAAGAGAGCGUGGAGGCGUUCUUGAGGCUAGAUUUUGCUCUUUGUCAGUUGUCACGCUUACUUUUCCCAGGGAAUUUUCGCACAUAAUCGCAGCGACAACUUUGCUGGAUUGAAAAUUUUGUAAGGGGUAAUGUUACCCAUCUGACGUUCGCUGGGAGAGGGGUGGCAAGCGAACGCCAUUUGAUAGCAGUUGUAUCUGUGAGGAGCGAUCAAACGACGGCAGUUUUAAAUCGAAAAAUGCCCUCCAUGAAGAAAAUGUCUGAAGAAUCUGUCACCAACUAAAAAUACCAUCUAAAAUGUUUGCAAAUGCCACCCUCCCUGACGAACGUUGGCCGGUUAGCAGGAUACGUCCUGAAAGCUCCAUCUUCCUACCCUGGCGAAAUCGACCUACUGCAAGAGAAUUUUCAUGCCAAGAACAUAAUGUAAGUAGAGUAUAUCCGUAGCUUCAGUGCAAUCCACAAAAAAGGCAAUGAAGCAUCAUCUGUCAUGCGUGUAUGGAAGCAUUACAGAUGGUCAUCAGGCAUUCAGGCGCGAUGAUGCAAUCGUGCAACUGCACUACAUACUUGUCUCAACUACAGGAAAGGAAAGAGCAGCACCCGAACCAAAGACGGCGGGGUCAGAUGGGCGGCGGGUCGUCCCACUGCAGGACGGCGGUGUCGAGGUUCUGCUCCCGCUUGAGCUUGUCCUUGAGGAACCAGUCGCACACCCGCCCGGCGUUGAGCUCCUCGAUCGCCACCCCCUCCUGCUCCGAGAUCACCCGCAGCAGGUUCAGCGACGAGAUCUGACCAAUCCCUCCCAAGAAUCAUUCGUAUCAACACAUGCUAACCAUGAUGUUCUUAAUAAAAUCCAGGUAAACACAUGGCUGCAAACUGCAAACAACUCACGGUGAGGCGGCAGAGGAAGCGCUCGUGGGUGCUGAGCCCGGACAUCUCCACCAGCCCGGCCUCCUCCAGGCUCAGGAACGUCCUCUUCUCCUUCUCCUGCUGCUUCUUCUCGCCGUCACCGCUCUGCUGCUUCUCUUCCUGGCACCUCGUCCUCACCGCCGUCCGCUUUGACGCCGCCGCUCCCGCCCUCGCUGCGAGCGCGGUGGUGCACGCAGUCAGUCACGGGCACGUACUUGCAGGCACGAAUUUAAGCCGGUGCAGAGCGGCGGGUGGUCGACUAACCUGGACUGCAAAGGAAAGCUCGUCGGAGCGACGGCCCGGGCAGCGGGAGCGCCGCCCGCCGCGCUGCGUGGGGUUUGCACGGCGCCACCAUGUGGUGCUGCUGCUGCUGCAUGAUAGCUCACGAGGUUCCUGGCGAGGCGAGCCGGAGGGAGUCGGAAGACGACGACGAUGGGUGUCCGGUGCGAGCAGAUAACGUUCCAUCGCCACGUCCGGAUUUCCUACCCCUCUGACCGAGAACGCUCCGGAAGAAAAGAGUAAAAUGCAUCAUAAGUCCUAAAACUAUGGACGUGUGUCAAUUCAGUCCUAUAACUUUGAAACUGCAAUUUUAGGUCCUAAAACUAUUGGAGGUGUGUCAUUUUAGUCCUAUAACUUUGAAACUGUAGUUUUAGGUCCUAAAACUAUUGAAGGUAUGUCAGUUUAGUCCCAUAACUUUGAAACUACAGGCAAUGAGUGGCAUGAUGGCUUGAGCUCCAACGAGGAGAGUAGACUGGCCACACAGGUGAUGGACGUGCAUGUUGCAACACACAUUGUGACGUCAAAGUGUAUGGACCACUUCUGGGGAAGUAAACACAUAUAAAGAGCUCAUUUGAAAAAAUGCACCAUAGAUGCUAGCCAUGCAAGCUUAGGACCUGAGAUGAACAAACUUACAUAAUUUUGGGACCCAAAACUAUAGUUACAAAGUUAUAGGACUAAGCUGACACACCUUCAAUAGUUUUAGGACCCAAAACUGCAGUUUCAAAGUUAUAGGACUAAACUAACACAUCUUCAAUAGUUUUAGGACUUAUGGUGCAUUUUACUCGGAAGAAAACAACAAAUCCUGAACCAGAAUGCUUGAUCCACAACACAAGGCUAGCAGCCAGCCAGCCAGCCGCUGGCCCUGACCCCGAGCCGUGCAACCCUCAGUUUUACCAAACGAAGCUAAGUAACGGGUGACAGACACCGUUUGCAACAACUAGUCCAAUGUGAACACCUACUUUCACGAACUCACAAAUGAAUCGUAUUUUUUUUACAGAACAAAUCGGCGAAACCAAACGCAAACAGAAAGAAAUUUGUCGGAGAGAAAAGGGGCCGGAGGGUUUGCUAUACAUCGGGUGUGCGGCGCAUCAGGGCAGCUCCAACACGAAUCACCAAACGGACGGCACCAAAUGGUUGUGAACACGUCCGGACGUGUCCAUGGACAGCGCGCGGGUCCGAUCGGCCAUCCAACCAUAGGCACGAAAUGUCCGCCUGCUCGAUCUUUUUUCCUAUGCCUGGAGUAUUGAAAAUAACCAAACAUAAAUAGCACGAUUCUUCGGUGAUUCGAAGAUAAAUAUUCCGAUGCAACAAUAAUUCAAAUGUAAAUAUUGCAAUCCAAACAUAAAGUUCGGGAAUUAUUCCAGAUUUGAAUUCAACUUAUUCGAACAUAUGUUCUACUUGUCUCCUUGCAAUGCUCACAUAUGCUCAAUUUGAUCAUUUCGAAGUUGCGCAUAAGUUCCUCGAUGGCGAAUUUGGUAAUGCAUUUGGAGAAAACUUCAAAUGUCACCGUCCCCCCCCUCCCCCCCAGUUUGGUGCCAAAUCGUGGGAUUUCGAGCGUCCAAACUUUUUCGGACAAAUUAGGUGUCCCUCGUUGGAUGGCCAAAGGUGUCCGGACACUUCGGUCUAGACAUUUGCAGGCAAUUUGGUGAUCUGCGGUUGGCGAUGCCCUUAGCGCCAAUGCAAGGUGGCAUGAUAUAUGCGUGUACACCGACGUCGACAACACUCCUGUAGUUGCUGAUUUCAACGGAGAUGCUCGUGGGUGAAAAAAUAACCCUCGGCGCCACGAUGCUCCCCUCCCCAUCCUUCUCCGCGCCAGUUCAGUUUCUCCUCGGGAUAUUCGACUCAAUGUGAAAUGUCACUAAGGGCUAAGUGUUGAAGAGAAAUAGAGAUUUAAGUAUAUCAAGUGACUUAUAUUAAUGUCGAGUUGGGUAUCUAUAUCUCCCCGACAGGCAUGUACAUACGUUGGUUACAAUGAUUCCAUCUGUUCUAAGAGGCAUGAUGCCCCUUCAACAUCAACAACCUUUGGCAAAGCUGACUUAUAAGUAGUCAGUACAUAGGAAAUCCUAACUGCUAUGUUAGCAUAAAAGUAACGCUGACUUCUAACUAUUAAUAUUUCCUAACACUUCCCUUGGACAACGAUGUUUCUUAGCUUCACUGUCUUGAGAGUGCUGGAUCGUCUUGCCUUUUUAUUGAUAGUCCUUGCUCUUGAAACUUCACGAAUCUUUGAUCUUGUACUAGUUAAGUCCUUCAAAAUCAUGUGGGAAAAGUAUAAGGAGAACUAUAGAAAUUUGAUAUACCAUUAGUGUAUAAUCAAUUGUCAUAUUAAAACCUAUAUGAGAAACCCUUUGGAAAACUCAUAAGGAAAAUAGUACAAUACUUUAUUGACGAGAUGAUAAUUAAUAAGUUAAGUUCCAGGAGAUUUCUCCCCCCGAACUUUGCAAAUUCUGUAGUCAGCUCCUGCCAAUGCCAUGAUGCAUUUUUGAAAUGUUGUUGUUGGUAAAGACUUAGUGAACAAAUCUGUAAGAUUAUCACACGAUUUUGUUUGCAAAAUAUCAAUUUCUUCAUUUUCUAAUAAUUCAUGAGGAAAUAAUAGUUUUGGAGCAACAUGUUUUGUGAUACUACUUUUAAUAUACCCCAGAUGCAUUUGAGUAACACAUGUACAACAUUAUCCUCAUAGAUAAUGGUUGGUGAUUCUAAUGAGCCGAUACGCAUGAUGUUUGAAUAUCAUUGAUUACUCCGCGAAGCCAUGCACAUUCACACGAUUCUUCAUAUAAUACAAUUAUUUUAGAGUGGUUAGUGGAAGUUGCUACUAAAGUCUGUAUUGUUGACUUCCAUGAAAUUGCAGUUUCACCAUAUAAAAAUGCAAACCCUGUUUGUGAGAUGACAUUAAUUAUGGGGAUCAAAAAGAUAACCAUCAUCAGUAUAACCAAUCGGGGCCAUUUCUUGUUUUUUCCCCUAUAGAAUAAACUAAUAACUUUAGUACCAUGCAAUAUCUGAGAUAUUCUUUACUCCUACCAAAUGUCAUUUUGUUGGACCUGCGAUAUGUCUAGCCAACAAAUUUACUGCAAAGGCAAUGUCUUUUCUAGUACAAUUUGCGAGGUACAUUAGUGCUCUUAUGGCAUUAAGGUAUACACUUAUGACAUUAUGUCUUGUGUACAUAUUUGCAAGACUUUUAGCGGCUUUUCUAGUGGUCCAUUUCUGGACUUACUUGUAUAUUUACCAAUUAUCCCGAUCACAAACAAGGGCACGUUCAUAUUUAAAUACACACAUUGCUUCUGAUAGCUGAAGCAUAAGGAACAAACAUUAUCUAAUUAGUACAUAAUGGUUCCUUGGACACUAAAAUGUCCACCUUUGUUGCCCUUAACUUUAGUAGCAGGUGCGAUAGAGUAAUACCACGGAAUAUUUUCUUUCGUACUCUAUUGACGUAUGUCGUCAUAAUAGAACUUUGACUCCUUCUGGACCUAUAUCUUGGGGAAACUCGAUACAAACAAAGUAUAAGGCAUCACCAUGAUCCUUUAUGUCGUAAAGAGAAGAUAGAAAUUUCUUGACCUGCCAAAAAAAUUCCAUCUUCGCAAGGUAGUAAACUUAAUCCCCCUCGUUUUAUAGUAUGAGUGCCCCAAUGCUCUUCUUAUUUCAGAAUUGAAUUUCUUGAGGCAACAUACCUUAUGUUAACUUCAUAUAUCUGACGAAACCUUACGGUUCAGUCAUACACUACAUUCUUAACUUAGUCAACACAAUAGCAUGUUAUAAUGAUAACCCAAGCAUCACAAUAACUCGCCAAGGAAAAUCUAUUGAGUUUCAUAUGUCAUUAGAGCUCGUUAUCACGCAAGCCUCUAAGAUGAUCAUUCACACACAUUAUCAAUCACAGGGUAAUUGUUAAGUCUCAACAUUAAGGAGACAACAUUAUGAGCAUCACAAAAACAUCAAGCAUGUAUUAUCCAUGCAAUGAGAUGAAUCAAAGAGAUGCUUAAUCCAUAUUCAUAAAUAACACAUGAAAAUAAUCAACGUUGGUCAGAAUAGCAUCAUAUGCCAUCAUAACAUUUUUUUAUUAAAUCUCUAGUCAAAACUUCUCAUCAGUUCCAUUUUGACCAGAGAGACAUAAAAUCACAUAAUUAUGAGCAAGAACUUUGGCUAAAUUAAUAGCUAACAUGAAUUAACAUAAAGUGACAACAUAAAACCAUGUUUGCCAUCAUACACAAUGAUACCUUUUGUCACUAAAGUUGAUACCGAUAAUAACAGUGAACAUAAGUGUGAAAAAUAUCAUUAAAAUUCCCAAUGACAUAAAUGAAAAGGACAUGGAAUUAACAUAAAAAUAUACAUGUCAUUGCCACUGAGUAAACACCAAAAUUGAAAUUUAUAGUGAAAAAUGACAUUAAAAUUAUCGUCAGGAUAUGAUAAGAUUUUCCAAAUAAUAAAUCUGAACAUAAAUUUACAUAAGGAUUCACAUAUAGGGAUGGCAAUGGGUAGGGUAUGGGCGGGUACAACCUCCAAACCCAUACCCAUAGAAACUUUCUAUACCCACCCACUUCAAUACCCAUGGGCAUAAAUUGAUACCCAUGCCCAUACCCAUCGGGUAUCCUGUAACCAAUGGGUAUCCAUUGGGUACCAUAUAUAGCAUUUAAAUUUUGAUUUUUUUUAGAGAAAUGAGUCUGAAAUUCAAGUGAUAUGGACGGUCAUUAUGGCACCAACAUAGUCUCCUCCGAUGGUGGCUUCUUGGAGGCAUCAAGGGAUUAUGAGCAGCGGUUGGUGGAAGCCCGACGUAGUGGGAAUGAGCAGCUGGAAUUGGGGGUCACUGGGUCGAGAGUUUAGAGGAGUCCGAUGGCGAUGAGUCAAGAUUUCAUUGUUUCAAGAAGUUAUAUAUAUAGGACGUCAGAGGAGUGUCGAGCAGGCGAUUGCAGGCCUAUGACCUAUGGCUGGUUUAGAGAAUACAAGAUUUAGGGUUGGGCCAUAGGAGUUAGAUGCUUACCCCACAUGUCAUAGGAAUAAUUUGGAUUUAUUAAUUUCUUUUGGGUAUCCAUUGGGUUACCCAUGGGCGCAAUUGAAUACCCAUGCCCUACCCAUAGAUUUUGCGGGUAUGGAUACCCAUUACCCGUGGGUACAAUAUCUUUCCAAGUCAUGCCCAUGCCCAUUGUUUUGCCCAUGGACAUAAAUAUUAAUUGCAUAAAAAUAGUCCUGUCAACUAAACAUCAAUGUGUGUGCAACUAGACUACAUUGCCGCGCCAACUAAGCAUAUGUUUGUGCAACUAGUGUCCUGCCAACUAAACAUCAAUGUGUGUGCAACUAGACUAAACUACAAGCCAACUGAGCAUAUGCCAACUAAACAUCAAUGUGUGUGCAACUAGACUAAACUACAAGCCAACUGAGCAUAUGUGUGUGCAACUAGUCUUCCUGCCAACUAAACAUCAAUGUGUGUGCAACUAGACUACAUUACAAGCCAACUAAACAUCAAUGUGUGUGCAACUAGACUACAUUACAAGUGGAGGUUGAACAUCGACUUUCUCGGGGCAAUAGACUAGUUGCACAUCAAAGUUGUCGUGGUUGCUAGGUUGCAACCUCAUACGAAUGUGCAGCUCCAAACAUUAGUUUUGGAAAAAGUUGCACGAUGUAGUACUAAAGUUGCACAAUAUAUCAUCAAAGUUGCAUAAAAAAAUUUGUUGUAACAUACCCAUAUGGGAUCUAGUUUCAAAGAUCUCGUCACGAAGAACCCAACGAUGAAGACGGAUUUGAAUUCCGACAUGUGGUUUGAAAGAUAUGACUUUUUAAAAAUUGAAGAUCCGGAAUAAAUACACGUGAAUCUGUUUUGUUGUCCAUCAGAUAUAAUAAGUUUGACUGCAUUUAAUGAUCAAUCACAUGCACUAGCAAACAAAUCCUACACAUGCAUGUGUGUGGCAGAGCGCGGCCCUCGUUUUCUCCAGAAGGUGCGCGUGCACUUCGAAGAUUUUAGGGAAAUUUUUUGGCCCAAAAUGUUUUUUUACCCACGGUUAGGCCAAGCUCAGCAGCUAAAACACUUUUUUUUUGAGAAUUAGCAGCUAAAACACUUAAAAAGAAAAAAACUGUUGGCUUGGCUAAGACAACCUGGGCCGAAGCCCAUGACCACUUUCGGUCCCUUAAGCCGCCUGCAGCCCAUCUGCUGCACCGCGCUGGUCUGAGCCGUCGAUCCAACCGGACGGCUGAGAUCGAUCCAGGCCAGAUCAAAACGGCCAGCCGAGGGACCCUACCUCAUUUCUCUCCUCUCCCCUGUUUUUCUCGGUCCCGUUCUGGAGAGGCGACAUCGACGGCGACGCGCUGCCCCCCUUCUUCCAUGGCUGCGUGGUGGCUUUGCUCACCGGAGCAACGUUCCAUGGACUUGGUCCGGCGCGCUCCUCCGUCGAGCAUGGCUGUCGGCGCCGCAUUCGUUCGGGACAGCGAGGGGAAGGAUAUCUGCUUCGUGCGGAUCCAUUAGUCGGCGACGGCGGCGAGCACAACCAGGCGGUCGAACAGGCGCGCGUCCAUGAGCACGGCGGCGGCAUUCCGCGCGUCGCUCAGGUGGGAGGCGACGGCGUCCUGGCACUCUCGCACUCGCAUAGCGGUGAGUGCCUAGCGGGCCCCGAAGGGAAAAGGCGAUGAUGUGGCGCGUUAGUGAGAUAUAUUCUUGAUCCCAAUCUGUGUGCUUUCAUGCUCAAUUGGGUGCGAAAACCUAAUUGCAAAAUUAGGGUAUCGAAUUGGGGAAACUUUUUUGAUCUAGGGUCUCGGAAAUUGGGGAUGUUCUUCUGAUUAUGUGCUCUUGAUUCCCUUUUUUCUAAUUAGCCUGACUCAGUACUGAAAACUAAUAAAUGUUUUGUACAUAAAUGUUAGCAUUAGACCUUAACUUAGAUUAAUUAAAAUUGACGAACACAGGUAGUACUUAUCAUAGCCAAUUAGAAUGAAUCUUGAAUAUCAACAGUGGGCAAUUUAGAUGAACUUAAAACAGUAGCAGCAUAUUGGCAAACAGAGUUGUAAAAAUCAAUCUUAAACAUAAUUCCCUAAACAUAAGACUGAUAUACUAAUCAUGAAUUUGGGAUCUAUUACAAUCAGGGAGGCGUCUGAUACCAUUGUUAAAAUAUUUGCAUCACUAGGAUGCGUCUUCCUGAGGAGACUCGGCGGGCACCUCACCGGCCGGCAGCUCAACCCCUUCCCCACCCACAUCCCCUCACUGCCGCCGGUAAUCGACGUCGGGCAAAGCCUGCCGGCGGCUGGCGGCGGCGGGAUCCGCUCUCUCCAGCGAAGCUCGCCACACAACUCCCCUGUUUUCCUCCCUCCACCUCCCACCACGCCGGCCAUCUCCUCCGUCUGCCCGGAUCCGCCCGUCCUCCCCACUCACCUGCCUCGGUGCUCGCCGGAUCUGGCUGAGCGCGCCCUUUGCGGCGUGUGGCUGCCUUUGGGUCGAUGCCCCCACGCGGAUCCAGAUCCAUUUGUGCCGUGACCUCCUUCGCUCGAUCUGCUCCGCCCUCCCCGGCUCCGUCUGCACCAGCUGCACGACGUGCGCUCCGGGUGGCGCCCCUUUGUUCAGUGCGUGCCCCAAAACCGUGGUGGUCAUCAGGCUGGCUCGGGGUCUUCCACCUCUGCGCCCGUGCGCCGCAUCCCUCCGCUCCGGCAAAACUACCCUUCCGCGCGUCGUGCGUCCGGCUGUUCGCGGCCUGCUGCUCUCUUGAGCCGCCACGCCACCCAGGCAGGGCUGCGCCGCCACUGGCGUGGCGCGUGUGUCGGCCGUCGCCCACACCACCCCUCCCUCUGAUCCAUGCUCAUGGGUGCUCGGUGGAUUGUCGCGGUUCCCCUGACUCGGGCGGGCCAUGCGGCUCCGGCGCCCUCGACCUGGUCGCCUCCGCUGCCGGGCUUUGCAGCUGCGUUUGGUUUGUGCCCGUGUCAGCGGCGUCUAGCAUGGAGGACUGCUGCCCCUCGCCGCAGUUCCCUCUGACCUUCGGCUCUCUGUCUCCGGGAGAAAUCCCUUCGCUGGUUCCUUGCCAGCGGCAGCAACGGCGAUGCCUUCCCGGCGCCGCUUCAUCUUCUUGGAGGCGCCGCUGUGGAGUUAAGUGUAGCUAUGGUUUUGGACGAAAGUCCUGCGAUGAUGGCGCCUGUGGGCGUCAUUCAACCUUCCUGAAGGUGUCGCAAAAACACAUGCUUCAAUCCACUCACCUACGCCCGCCCAUUCCAUCAUCGACUUUGUCCCUCCGUCGCCACUCACCGCCAUCCAUCCAUCCGUCUGGUGUGUUGUCCAUGUUGUGCUUGCUCAGGUCCCUUCCAUGCCUGUUGUUGUCUUGCGGCAGGUUGGGGUCAACAGUGGUUUGUGUUGUUGCUGCCCUACUUCCUAUGUGUUCGUCUUCGGUGUUGUUCCCCGGUGUCGGCCAUAUUGCUGUGCAUGUUCAAGCCCCUCCCAUGGUGGCCGUUGUGUUGCGGUGAGCUUAGUGCUCUUGGUGUUGUCCCGGUUCAUCUUUGCUCUUCGACGACGCAAGAUGCCUCCACAGCUUGCUAAUCAUCCCGAAUUCCCGUGGCGGAGCUCCAAGUCAAGGUUCGUGUUGUCACUCGUUCGUUGUGGAUACUCCUGAGUAGUGUCGUGAGGUUCGGUAUGCACGCCGGUGUGGUGCGCUAGGUCGCUUGCUUAGUCCUGGUAUUGUGAUCCUUCGAUGACACCCCUCUUCUACUUGUGCCUCCCUGGUGUUGGUCCUUUGGUCUGCUAGCUAGGUCAUCCCUUGUCUGUGGCAUCCAUUUUUCUUCUUUUCUUCAGUCAUUGAUGUGCGGCAUUUUUUCUCUCUCUUCUUCUGUAACCUUGUUGAUUGUACGGUUUUUGGCCCGGUUUCCCUUAUAAACGGGGUCAAUUUGUUUAGGUUUUCGAUCCUGUUUCCCUUAUAAACUGGAUCAUCCAAAGUUAAGAGGUGACUCUUGGCUUUGGUAGCUUUUUGAGCAAUAUAUUCAGGUGGGGACCUCCCUCCCGGUGACCGUUCAAAAAAAAGGAUGCCAUGCACAUUAAUAGGUUGCAUCUAGACCUCUUAAUUGUCAUGAAUAGAGAGAGAUUAGGGAUUCAUUACUUGUCAUAGAAGUUGACAUGAUCUCCUGCUUGUUGCAGGAGAAAUGGAAGGAUGAUGUAGUCUAAGUAGACGAUCUCCUUGAUGUCCUGAUUUCUUCGGGCCGCCACCGGCACUGUUCUGUGACGGCGGCAUGAUGACUAAGUCUUCUCACCGUUGCAGCAGCUCCCCCAUAUCGGAUUAGGAUAGAUUCAUGAGGGCUAGUGAACUAUAUGUAAAACCUGCCCUAAGCCCCCCUUUCCUUUACAUUUGAGCAGUUGUACGGGAAGGGACCUAAACCCUCAGUUGGUUUUUGGGCACCCCCAAUAAGGGUGCUAUCGUUGGGUCCAGAGCGUUGGUUCAUGGGCCUCCCCCCCUUUUUUUUUCUCUCGUACGGUUAUUUGACUAUUUUUUUCUUUUAACCGACAUAUCAAUUCAAUAGCUACUACUUUGCAAGCUACUGGAGAAGGCGCUGAAGGGUGCAUGCCACCUCCAUGUGCUCCGCAGGUUUGCCAAUGACGCGGUUGAUACGUCUCCAUCGUAUCUACUUUUCCAAACACUUUUGCCCUUGUUUUGGACUCUAACUUGCAUGAUUUGAAUGGAACUAACCCGGACUGACGCUGUUUUCAGCAGACUUUCCAUGGUGUUAUUUAUGUGCAGAAACAAAAGUUCUCGGAAUGACCUGAAACUCCACGGAACAUCUAUUUGGAAAAUAAGAAAAAUACUGGAAGAAAAAUCCACGUCAGGGGGCCCACACCCUGUCCACGAGGGUGGGGGGCGCGCCUGCCGCCCCUGGGCGCGCCCCCUACCUCGUGGGCCCCCUGGCUCUCCACCGACCUCAACUCCAACUCCAUAUAUUCACUUUCGGGGAGAAAAAAAUCAGGGAGAAGGAUUCAUCGCGUUUUACGAUACGGAGCCGCCGCCAAGCCCUAAAACCUCUCGGGAGGGCUGAUCUGGAGUCCGUUCGGGGCUCCGGAGAGGGGGAUUCAUCGCCGUCGUCAUCAUCAACCAUCCUCCAUCACCAAUUUCAUGAUACUCACCGCCGUGUGUGAGUAAUUCCAUCGUAGGCUUGCUGGACGGUGAUGGAUUGGAUGAGAUCUAUCAUGUAAUCGAGUUAGUUUUGUUAGGGUUUGAUCCCUAGUAUCCACUAUGUUCUGAGAUUGAUGUUGCUAUGACUUUGCUAUGCUUAAUGCUUGUCACUAGGGCCCGAGUGUCACUGGACUAUGCUUAAUGCUUUUCAUGAAUAUAUGUGAGUUCUUGAUCCUAUCUUGCAAGUCUAUAGUCACCUACUAUGUGUUAUGAUCCGGCAACCCCGAAGUGACAAUAAUCGGGACCACUCCCAGUGAUGAGCAUAGUUUGAGGAGUUCAUGUAUUCACUAUGUGCUAAUGCUUUGUUCUGGUACUCUAUUAAAAUGAGGCCUUAAUAUCCCUUAGUUUCCAUUAGGACCCCGCUGCCACGGGAGGGUAGGACAAAAGAUGUCAUGCAAGUUCUUUUCCAUAAGCACGUAUGACUAUAUUCGGAAUACAUGCCUACAUUACAUUGAUGAAUUGGAGUUAGUUCUGUGUCACCCUAUGUUAUGAUUGUUACAUGAUGAACCGCAUCUGGCAUAAUUCUCCAUCACCGAUCCAAUGCCUACGAGCUUUUCACAUAUUGUUCUUCGCUUAUUUACUUUUCCAUUGCUACUAUUACAAUCACUACAAAACCCAAAAAUAUUACUUUUGCAACCGUUACCGUUACUUCCAUACUACUUUGCUACUAAAUACUUUGCUGCAGAUAUUAAGUUAUCCAUGUGUGGUUGAAUUGACAACUCAACUGCUAAUACUUGAGAAUAUUCUUUGGCUCCCCUUGUGUCGAAUCAAUAAAUUUGGGUUGAAUACUCUACCCUCGAAAACUGUUGCGAUCCCCUAUACUUGUGGGUUAUCAAGACUAUUUUCUGGCGCCGUUGCCGGGGAGCAUAGCUCUAUUCUUUGAGUCACUUGGGAUUUAUAUCUGCUGGUCACUAUGAAGAACUUGAAAGACGCUAAGACAACAAUUUAUCCCUCAACUACGAGGGGAGGUAAGGAACUGCCAUCUAGCUCUGCACUUGAUUCACCUUCUGUUUUGAGUAAGCUUGCGACACCUAAACCUGCUUCUGCUAUUCAUUCUGAUAUGUCACAUGUUAUUGAUGAUACCACUUCUGCUAUGCAUAAUACUUAUGAUGAAACUACUUCUAUGCUUGAUACUACUGUGCCACUUGGUGAAUUUCUUGAUGAACAGCUUGCUAGGGUUAGAGAGAAUGAAAUUAUUGAUAAUAUUGAUGAAAGUGAUGAUGAAGACUCUCGACCUAAUAAAUAUGAAUUGCCUGUUGUGCCUGAGGGCUAUGUUAUGGAUGAAGCAAUUGCUAAAGAAAUUUUUGCUUGCAAAGAUAGAUAUGAUGUUAAGAAAUUAUUAGCUAAAUGGAAGCAGCAAUCUCUUAAUGCUAGAAUGAAACCUGACCCUGCUUUUGCUACUUCACCUAUCUGUGUUACUGAUAAGGAUUAUGAAUUCUCUGUUGAUCCUGAUAUAGUUACUUUGGUUGAAUUCGAUCCUUUUCAUGGCUAUGAAUCUGAAACUGUUGUGGCACAUCUUACUAAAUUAAAUGAUAUAGCCACCCUGUUCACUAAUGAUGAGAAUUCUCGCUACCUUUAUAUCCUCAAAAUAUUUUCGUUCUCAUUAAAGGGUGAUGCUAAGAUAUGGUUCAGUUCUCUUGAUCCUGGUUGUGUCCGUAGUCCCCAGGAUAUGAUUUAUUACUUCUCCGCUAAAUAUUUCCCCGCUCAUAAGAAACAAGCUGCUUUAAGGGAUAUAUACAACUUUCUGCAAAUUGAAGAAGAGAGUCUCCCACAAGCUUGGGGGAGGCUUCUCCAGUUACUUAAUGCUUUGCCUGAUCAUCCUCUCAAGAAAAAUGAAAUACUUGAUAUCUUUUAUAAUGGACUAACUGAUGCUUCCAGAGAUUACCUGGAUAGUUGUGCUGGUUCUGUUUUCAGGGAAAGAACAUCGGAUGAAGCUGAAAUUCUAUUGAAUAAUAUGUUGACAAAUGAAAAUAAUUGGACACUUCCUGAGCCAGCUCCUGAGACAAUUCCUAAACCAACUCCAAAGAAGAGAGGUGUUCUAUUUCUCAGUCCUGAAGAUAUGCAAGAGGCAAAGAAAUCCAUGAAAGAAAAGGGUAUAAAAGCUGAAGAUGUUAAGAAUUUACCUCCUAUUGAAGAAAUACAUGGUCUUAAUUUACCGCCUGUUGAAGAAACAUAUGAUCUUAAUCCAUCACCUAUUGAAGAAGCUCAUGGUCUUGAUAACCCGACACAGGUAGUAAAGGUAAAUUCUCUCUAUAGAUUUGAUAAAGCUCAAAUCCCUCCUACUAAAAUUGCUAGCCAAUGCUUGGAUGAGUUUGAUAAUUUUAUGGUUAAGCAAGAAGAUUUCAAUGCUUAUUUUGGUAGACAAUUAAAACAAAAUGCUUAUAUGAUUGAACACUUGGGUGAUUACAUGUCUAGAGUUAAAGGUGAACUUUAACUCAUUAGUAAACAUGCUUCUAUGGUUACUACUCAAGUAGAACAAGUACUUAAGGCUCAAAAUGAUUUGCUCAAUGAAUUGAAUAGUAAGAAUAAUGAUUAUUCUGUUAGAAUGGCUACUAGAACUGGUAGAAUGACUUAGGAACCUUUGUAUCCUGAAGGCCACCCUAAGAAAAUUGAGCAAGAUUCUCAGAGAAAUAAUAUUGAUGCACCUAGUCCUUCUAAAAAGAAGAAAAAGAAAAAUGAUAGGACUUUGCAUGCUUCUAGUGAACCUAUUGCAGAACCACCUGAGAAUCCAAAUGAUAUAUCUAUUUCCGAUGUUGAAACACAAUCUGGUAAUGAACAUGAAACUAAUGAAAAUGCUAAUGAUGAUGUUCAUGAUGAUGCUCAACCUAGUAAUGAUAAUGAUGUGGAAAUUGAACCUGCUGUUGAUCUUGAUAACCCACAAUCAAAGAAUCAAUGUUAUGAUAAGAGAGACUUUGUUGCUAGGAAACAUGGUAAAGAAAGAGAACCAUGGGUUCAGAAACCCAUGCCUUUUCCUCCCAAACCAUCCAAGAAAAAGGAUGAUCAGGAUUUUGAGCGCUUUGCUGAAAUGAUUAGACCUAUCUUUUUGCGUAUGCGAUUAACUGAUAUGCUCAAAAUGAAUCCUUAUGCUAAGUACAUGAAAGAUAUUGUUACUAAUAAAAGAAAGAUACCGGAAGUUGAAAUUUCCACCAUGCUUGCUAAUUACACUUUCAAGGGUGGAAUACCAAAGAAACUUGGAGAUCCAGGAGUACCUACUAUACCAUGCUCCAUUAAAAGAAACUAUGUUAAAACUGCUUUAUGUGAUCUUGGAGCCGGUGUUAGUGUUAUGCCUCUCUCUUUAUAUCAUAGACUUGAUUUGAAUAAGUUGACACCUACUGAAAUAUCUUUGCAAAUGGCUGAUAAAUCAACUGCUAUACCUGUCGGUAUUUGUGAGGAUGUGCCUGUUGUGGUUGCAAACAUUACUAUUUUAACGGACUUUGUUAUUCUUGAUAUUCCCGAGGACGAUAGUAUGUCUAUUAUUCUGGGAACACCCUUUUUGAAUACUGCAGGGGCUGUUAUUGAUUGCAACAAAGGCAAUGUCACUUUUCAUGUUAAUGGUAAUGAGCAUACGGUACACUUUCCGAGGAAACAACCUCCAGUUCAUAGUAUCAACUCUAUUGGAAAAAUUCCAUCGAUUAUAUUUGGAGGUUUUGAAUUUCCUCUACCUACUGUCAAGAAGAAAUAUGAUAUUCUUAUUAUAGGGGAUGUGCAUAUCCCCGUUGAGGUAACAUAGUGUUAUUCGAAAUUUCUCCGGUUCCAUGUUAUUCGGAAUGAGUUUGUUAACAAGACUUGAUCAACCUUGUUAGUGGAUUCCUUUUGAUGAGCAUGAGAUGGAUGAAACUAGAAGGCACAACCUUCUGUACCCUCCUUCUACUUUCUGUUAUUUAGUUGAAAUAAAGUAAAAAUAGUAUUUUUCUGUCUGUUUUCUGAUUUAUCCGUGCAAUAUAAAAAUACCCUGAAAAUAAAAGUUCUCCAAUUGCCCCAAAAUUAAAAUAUGAUUUUUUCUGGAAUAUUUGAGAAUAUUUGGCACUGAGAACACAACAGGAGGGGCAAGCACCUGGCCACGAGGGUGGAGGGCGCGCCCCCUGCCUCGUGGGCCCACGGUGGCCCCCUCCACUUAUUCCUGCACCCACACACUUCUUCUUCCUCCCAAAAAAAUCACCAUCCAGCUCAAGCAUGAGUUCUAGCUCAUUUUGCUGCGAUUUUCGAUCUCCUUGCUCAAAGCACCUCUCACAAAACUGCUUGGGGGGAUUGUUUCUUGGUAUGUGACUCCUCCAUUGGUCCAAUUAGUUUUUGUUCUAGUGCUCUAUUCAUUGCAAAUUUGUGCUGCCUAGGUGACCAUGUUCUUGAGCUUGCAUGUCAAAUUUAUAUGGUUCCAAGUAGUUCUAAUGCAUGAUAUAGUCUCUAGGCACUUGUAGGAGUAGUUGCUAUCAAUAUUGUUGAGCUUGGUUCACCUUUAUUUUGAAGUUACUAAAAAUUUCAGAAAUUUUUCAGAAGAAUAAAUAUGCUUAGGAAAAUGUUCCAAGGUGGUUCUUCAAGGAAGCAAGGACCCAGGCUUGCAAUGCGUGAUGCUGACGAUGAGUCACCGAGGGACGCUCCAGUGCGACCUUGUGAAUGGCCUUCAGAAAAUUUUAUGGAUCGAGCGGGAAUCAAGGAAGAAUUUAACGCAUAUUUGCGUAAUGCUGAUCUUGUGAGCUUUGAGGCAGAAAAAUGCCGCCAAUACCACUAUCUCACUAGUUCCUUUGUGAGGAGGUUUGAAUUUUCAGCUUCACGUAAUUCUCCAACUGUCCUGUUUGAUCUUUAUGAAAAAUCUUAUACGAUGGACUUAGAGGAUUUUACUUCUGCUUGCAAACUUCCAUAAUGGGGUAGUGCUAGUGAACCCCGCAAAUCUGAAUUUAGAAAUUUUCUUGCUAGUAUAACUGUGGGGGAAUCUAGAGAUAUAGCACAAGCUACUAUAGGGAGCAUUCAUUUUCCUGCUAUACAUUAUUUUGCUCUCUUCAUAGGUAGGUGCAUAAAUGGUAAAGAUGAAGCAUGUCAUAUGUGUGUUCCUGACCUCAGUAUUCUUAGGAGUGCUGUGUUAGGAGACAAAUCUUAUAAUUUGGGAGCCAUUGUUGCACGUAGGUUGCAUAAUAAUAGAUUUAAUGGAGAUUUCUUUGGUGGAAUUUAUGCAACCCGCUUAGCUGAUUUUCUUGGUGUAACCAUACGUAAUGAUGAUAUUGAAUUGCCUCCUGCUUACUUAGACUUUAAUGCUGUUCACCACCAGUUUGUUGAGAGGAAUGAAUCACCUCUCCAGUAUCGCUUAAUCUUUGACAGACGUCGUGCUGUCCGUAUUACUCUCCCUGCUCCCGCCUUUUUUGAUUAUCAGGCAAAAGGAAGAUAUGUUAUUACCAGAGAGGAGGCAGAUGAGUACGAGAGGAGGGCAGAAGCCGCUCGCCGCCACGCUGCAGCUCAGGAGGCGAUAGCCGCUGCAUCUCAGUACGACCCCGGCUAUAACUACAGAUAUCCGCCAGGCCACCCGUGGCAAUAAACCAACUUAGGCCAAAAGCCUAAGCUUGGGGGAGUACGUAUUUCCCACCGACAUUACAUUUAUGUCCACACACUCAUUGCUAGAUGUCGGUGCUCAUACUCUUUCACUGUAAUAUCCAUGCUAGUUUAUUUUCCUUUUCUUGCUCUCUUCUUGUGUGUUUGAUAAACUUUAAGAAAAACCAAAAAAAAAUUAGUAGUAGCUUUUAGUUAGUUUACUUUUCUUGCUGUAGUAGUAAUAAUUAAAAAGAAAACCCAAAAAGAUUUCCUGCUCUUCUUUUUGCUUGUUGGGAGCUUUCCCGUGUAAAUAGUUUUAUGUCUUUUCUUUUCUUUGGGGGUCGAUAGGAGAAGACCAUGAUUAAAUUGUUGAAGUGGCUCUUAUAUGCAUUAUUGUUGAUUUAACCAAGAGCCCAUAUUGCCUUGUCUUCUCCUGUUUAUUGAAUGCUCGCAGAUUCCAGCUUAGUCCAAUGCACGUGCACUCUUAUUAUUAUUCACAUCGUUCGGUCGUGCAAGUGAAAGGGAAUUAUGACGAUAUAUGAUGGAUUGACUGAGAUGAGAAAAGCUGGUAUGAACUCGACCUCUCUUGUUUUUGUAAAUAUGAUUAGUUCAUCGUUCCUGAUUCAACCUAUUAUGAAUAAACAUGUUUGCAAUGACAAUUAGAGAUCAUAGUUGCUUAUGCCAUGCUUGAUUAGCUAUGAGUUAUAAUGGUUUACCUUGCGUGCCAACAUGCUAUUAAAAUGGUUGUGAUGUGGUAUAGUGGGGUGGUAUCCUCCUUUGAAUGAUUUAAGUGACUCGACUUGUCACAUGUUCACACAUGUAGUUGAAACAAAUCAACAUAGCCUUCACGAUAUUUAUGUUCAUGGUGGAUUAUAUCCUACUCAUGCUCGUACUCAAUGUCUAUUAAUUUUAAUGCAUGUUCAUGACUGUUGUCGCUCUCUAGUUGGUUGCUUCCCAGUCUUUUGCUAGCCUUCACUUGUACUGAGCGGGAAUACUGCUUGUGCAUCCAAUCCCUUAAACCCCAAAGUUAUUCCAUAUGAGUCCACUAUACCUUCCUAUAUGCGGUAUCUACUUGCCGUUCCAAGUAAAUUUGUAUGUGCCAAACUCUAAACCUUCAAAUAAACAUUCUGUUUUGUAUGCUCGAAUAGCUCAUGUAUCAACUAGGGCUGUCCGUAUCUUCCAUGCUAGGCGGGUUAUUCUCAAGAGGAGUGGACUCCGCUCCUCACUCACAAGAAAAUGGCUGGUCACCGGGAUGCCCAGUCCCAUGCUUUAUGCAAACUAAAUCAAAAUUAAUUGCAAACAAAACUCCCCCUGGGACUGUUGCUAGUUGGAGGCACUCGUUGUUUCGAGCAAGCCAUGGAUUGAUGCUUGUUGGUGGAGGGGGAGUAUAAACUUCUGUUUGGGAACCGCCUAUAAUGUGUGUAGCAUGGAAGAUAUCGCCAUCUCUUGGUUGUUAUGUUGACAAUCAAAGUAUGCUGCUCAAAAUACUAUUUAUCUCUGCUUUAAAACCGAGCUCUGGCACCUCUACAAAUCCCUGCUUCCCUCUACGAAGGGCCUAUCUAUUUACUUUCAUGUUGAGUCAUCACCCUCUUAUUAAAAAGCACUAGCUGGAGAGCGCUGCUGUCAUUUGCAUCCAUUACUGUUAAUUUAUAUUGGGUAUGACAAUGACUGGAUCUCUUUUACCAUGAAUUACAAUGUCUAGUCAGUCCUUGAUCUUUAAAGCCGCUCUGCAUUUAUGUUUUGCGGACUCAGAAAGGGCUAGCGAGAUACCAUCUUGUUAUAUCAUAUUAUGAUUGUUUUGAGAAAGUGUUGUCAUCCGAGAUUUAUUAUUAUGGCUCGCUAGUUGAUUAUGCCAUUGAUAUGAGUAAACCUAAGACCUAAGAGUUAUUGUGAAUGUGGUUAGUCAUAAUCUUUGCUGAAAGCUUGAAUGCUGGCUUUACAUAUUUGCAACAAGAGCAAACAGAGUUUGUAAAAGUUUUUCGUUAUCACUUUCAAUUUAUCAACUGAAUUGCUUGAGGACAAGCAAAGGUUUAAGCUUGGGGGAGUUGAUACGUCUCCAUCGUAUCUACUUUUCCAAACACUUUUGCCCUUGUUUUGGACUCCAACUUGCAUGAUUUGAAUGGAACUAACCCGGACUGACGCUGUUUUCAGCAGACUUUCCAUGGUGUUAUUUAUGUGCAGAAACAAAAGUUCUCGGAAUGACCUGAAACUCCACGGAACAUCUAUUUGGAAAAUAAAAAAAAUACUGGAAGAAAAAUCCACGUCAGGGGGGCCCACACCCUGUCCACGAGGGUGGGGGGCGCGCCCCCUACCUCGUGGGCCCCCUGACGCUCCACCGACCUCAACUCCAACUCCAUAUAUUCACUUUCGGGGAGAAAAAAAUCAGGGAGAAGGAUUCAUCACGUUUUACGAUACAGAGCCACCGCCAAGCCCUAAAACCUCUCGGGAGGGCUGAUCUGGAGUCCGUUCGGGGCUCCGGAGAGGGGGAUUCGUCGCCGUCGUCAUCAUCAACCAUCCUCCAUCACCAAUUUCAUGAUGCUCACCGCCGUGCGUGAGUAAUUCCAUCGUAGGCUUGCUGGACGGUGAUGGGUUGGAUGAGAUCUAUCAUGUAAUCGAGUUAGUUUUGUUAGGGUUUGAUCCCUAGUAUCCACUAUGUUCUGAGAUUGAUGUUGCUAUGACUUUGCUAUGCUUAAUGCUUGUCACUAGGGCCCGAAUGCCAUGAUUUCAGAUCUGAACCUAUUAUGUUUUCAUGAAUAUAUGUGAGUUCUUGAUCCUAUCUUGCAAGUCUAUAGUCACCUACUAUGUGUUAUGAUCUGGCAACCCCAAAGUGACAAUAAUCGGGACCACUCCCGGUGAUGACCAUAGUUUGAGGAGUUCAUGUAUUCACUAUGUGCUAAUGCUUUGUUCCGGUACUCUAUUAAAAGGAGGCCUUAAUAUCCCUUAGUUUCCAUUAGGACCCCGCUGCCACAGGAGGGUAGGACAAAAGAUGUCAUGCAAGUUCUUUUCCAUAAGCACGUAUGACUAUAUUCGGAAUACAUGCCUACAUUACAUUGAUGAAUUGGAGCUAGUUCUGUGUCACCCUAUGUUAUGAUUGUUACAUGAUGAACCGCAUCCGGCAUAAUUCUUCAUCACCGAUCCAAUGCCUACGAGCUUUUUACAUAUUGUUCUUCGCUUAUUUACUUUUCCAUUGCUACUAUUACAAUCACUACAAAACCCAAAAAUAUUACUUUUGCUACCGUUACCGUUAUUUCCAUACUACUUUGCUACUAAAUACUUUGCUGCAGAUAUAAAGUUAUCCAGGUGUGGUUGAAUUGACAACUCAACUGCUAAUACUUGAGAAUAUUCUUUGGCUCCCCUUGUGCCGAAUCAAUAAAUUUGGGUUGAAUACUCUACCCUCAAAAACUGUUGCGAUCCCCUAUACUUGUGGGUUAUCAGCGGUAUACAAGGUGGUGGCACUAAUGAGAAGAAAUGUGGAAGGGCAAGGAUCCUCCAAUGAAGGGUGCAGAGUGCAAACAGAGAACCAUACUAAUGAGAAGAAAUGUGGAAGGGCAAGGAUCCUCGAAUGAAGGGUGCAGAGUGCAAACAGAGAACCAUGUCGCCAUUUCAGACUUCAAGCUCCGUGACAUCGCAUCGCUGCUAUAGGUGACAGACCACAAGGGCUCAUCGAGCCUUGCCAAGAUGGACGCCUGCGUCACCAUCAAGUAAGUGCUCAAAACGUCUUAAAGCCUUUAUUGUGAGAUCAUAGCCCUCCCUCCACCCAAUUAGCUUCUGAUGCGUGAGAUUUAACUGAAUUUUGUGCCAACUGAACUGCAUAUUCCAAUCAGUUUGCUUGUAUGACAUGUUUCAGCAGCCUCUUCUACCCAUUCAUGAAGAACCAACGGCAAGGUCAUCAUUCCUCGCCCCUUCAAGGUCACUGGGAACCUCCUCAAGUAAGAACGGUGAUAGUGUUAAUGUUGAGAACAAUAAUUUGGGCCCAUUUCUAUUUUGACAGUUAUUUUCUUAUGGAAUGGCCCCUUGCUGUUGUGGUAAAGCUGUUGCCUUGUGACCAAGAGGUCAUGGGUUUGAGUCCUGGAAACAGCCUCUUGCAGAAAUGUAGGAAAAGGCUGCGUACAAUAGACCCAAAGUGGUCGGACCCUUCCCCGGACCCUGCGCAAGUGGGAGCUACAUGCACCAGGCUGCCCUUUUUAAUGGCCCCUUGCUAUAUGUGCUUGCAAGUCCUAUGCCAUGAGAAAGUGUAGGUAAUAAUGAAGUGGUACCAUUCUUUCAGAACUUGAGCAUGUAUUUUUGUAUCAACAUAAAUUCUGAGUGUUAGGGCAUGUUAUCCCCCCAUACAACAGCUGGCAUCUGAACAUGUCUACCUGAAUGUUCCUAUCAUCCCAUGAUUUGUUAUAAAUCUGUUAAACCAACGCAUCAUCAGCAUCAUCAUGACACUAUACACUAUUCAGCAAGGACGGUAAUUAGCAAUACAACAACCUACUUUCUAAUAAAAUAAAUUUAUAGCUAUUAGCUUAAUGUUUCAUUUCAAACUUAAUUUGGAAUUUGUCAUCUGAAGUGGUUUGGGGUUGACGGGGAGUACAAGUUCAUGGCCAUUAUCUUGGUCCAAGUCCGGACGAAUUAUUCAACUAUUGCAAUAGAAAAUGCACUCCCUAAACAAUAUUUUUUGCAUGCUGAUCAAACGGUGAUUUUUUUCUUACCGUAUCUUAUCAUUUUGACUAUUAAUGUUGUACCACAUGUCUGAUAGAAUACCACUGAAAAUGUUUAUCUUCAAACUAAAAUCUUAUGAAUCCUUAUUUAGUUGUUUUUACCACCAAGGAAAGGUAAUGAAAAUUUUCUGUAUAGAUUGGCAAGGUAGAUUGCCUACAUUCGAGGGCUUUCUUGGUCGUGACAUAAAGACGAAUAACUUGUGGUCUUAGGCCGUAAAGCCAGUCAGGUUUCUGCCAUUCAUGCACAUUUUCUGGUACAACUGAUUUAUCACUUCUCUUCACUUUGGAAAUUUUUGUUAGUGCUCUACACAAUCUAGCCUCCAGCAUGGAUUUGUAUUUCCAUUUAUCGACCUUUAGUGAAGGAAAGUUUAGAUCUGCAUGAAGAACGCUUUUCAAUCAUCUACUUAACAAAACGUAAAUCCUUUGCCGGUAAAAUAUAUGGAUGUUAUAUAUAAGUCUCAGCGCUAUCCGUUAUUUUAUAUAAUUCUAAAUUCAUAACUGAACAAUUAAUUUAAUGUUGUAAAUAAAAUAAGUGCCAAUGUAUUUAAUUUCAGAGGGAUGCCAAGGUAGCAACUAAGUGGCAGAUUAUUUGCAGCCUAAGGAUAUCAUUCUAGAGUCUUUUGGUUGCAAACUAGAUUAAUAUUUCAUUGACCUCUAAGUAAGUUUUCCUCUAAUUAUUCAUUUUAGAGUCUUUUGUUGCAAACUAGAUUAAUAUUUCAUUGACCUCUAAGGGUGUGUUUGGUUGAGGAACCAACUGUCACGGAAUGGAAUGGUUCCAUUCCAGAGGAACAGGUCGGUUCCGUUAAUGUGUUUGGUAGGUGCAAAAAAGUAGAAUGGGUUGGUUCUGUCUCAAUGUUUGGUUUCGAAGAAUGGAAUGAAAAAUAGAAUAACAAAAAUUCAAAAUUUUGGCAGCAUUUCAUUUGUAUUUUCAAGAAAAACAACAUAACAAUAUAUAUUGACAUAGAACUCAUUUUUCAGCAAUGAAGUAGCAAGUUUAUUUGGCACAUACACAAGCAAUCAAGUAGCAAGGUCAUUUGGCACAUCCAAAAGCAAUCAGCCUCCGCGUCUAGCUGCUGAUCCAGACCUUCUGCAACACCCCCGGUCGCCGUUGCGUGGUAGCCGCCCCGCUGCUUCGUCGCUGCUGCUUGGACCGUGGCCGAACUGCUUCGUCGCUGCUGCUUGGACCGUGGCCGAACUGCUUCGUCGCUGCUGCUUGCUAGGUCGCCGCUGUCGGUGUCAAAACCGGCGGAUCUCGGGUAGGGGGUCCCGAACUGUGCGUCUAGGGCGGAUGGUAACAGGAGGCGGGGACACAAUGUUUACCCAGGUUCGGGCCCUCUCAAUGGAGGUAAUACCCUACUUCCUGCUUGAUUGAUCUUGAUGAUAUGAGUAUUACAAGAGUUGAUCUACCACGAGAUCGUAGAGGCUAAACCCUAGAAGCUAGCCUAUGAUUAUGAUUGUUGUUGUCCUACGGACUAAACCCUCCGGUUUAUAUAGACACUGGAGGGGGCUAGGGUUACACAGAGUCGGUUACAAGGGAGGAGAUAUACAUAUCCGAAUUGCCAAGCUUGCCUUCCACGCAAAGGAGAGUCCCACCCGGACACGGGACGAAGUCUUCAAUCUUGUAUCUUCAUAGUCCAACAGUCCAGCCAAAGUACAUAGUCUGGCUGUCCGAGGACCCCUUAAUCCAGGACUCCCUCAGUAGCCCCUGAACCAGGCUUCAAUGACGAUGAGUCCGGCGCGCAGAUUGUCUUCGGCAUUGCAAGGCGGGUUCCUCCUCUGAAUACUCCAUAGAAGAUUUUGAACACAAGGAUCGUGUCGGGCUCUGCAAAAUAAAUUCCACAGACCACCGUAGAGAGUAUAAUAUUCCACAAAUCUAAUCUGCUGACAAGUUUCAUAGUGUGACAUCACGCCACGACCCGGUCAUUAUUCGAACCGUUUUUCCCAACCAGCUACUGCACAUAUUGCGAGGAGGUUUUCUUGGCACGUCUUGUUGAAGCAGAGAUCGCGUCCCCUUAUCACGGGAUUCUCAUCAAUACGGGUGUGGGUAACCCAACCGUGCCAUCAAUUACGGCGCUUGGGGAAUACGCGGGUUUACCAGGCAAGUGGGGAGGCGCACAGUUUCUACUGCCUUUAUAAAGGGACAAGGACUCCUCUUUCUCACCCACGCCUUCUCCUUCCCCUGCCCAUCCAUUCUCACGCGCUCGAGCUCCAGCGCCCAAGUUCGCUUUUUCUCCACAAAGCCAUUCCAAACAUGUCCGGAGCGGGGGGCAAGUGGAUGGUCUCCUCCGUUAUGGAGGAGGACAUUACGAAGCUCCGGGAAGCCGGAUACCUGGCCGCAGACAUCGUGCACCGGCUCCCAGACGCAGGGCAGAUCGUCCCUACUCCAGAACCCCAUGAGAGGGUGGUAUUUCUUACCCACUUCGUCCGCGGACUGGGAUUUCCCCUCCACCCGUUUGUCCGCGGGCUCAUGUUUUACUAUGGGCUGGACUUCCAUGAUCUGGCCCCUAACUUCAUCCUCAACAUCUCGGCAUUUAUCGUCGUGUGCGAGGCCUUCCUUCGCAUCAAGCCCCACUUCGGCCUAUGGCUGAAGACCUACAACGUGAAGCCAAAAGUGGUAGUCGGUCAGCAGGCGGAGUGCGGAAGCGCCAUGGUGGGAAAAAUGCCCAACGUCACCUGGCUCGAAGGCUCCUAUGUGGAGACUGUGAAGGGGUGGCAAUCGGGGUGGUUCUACAUCACCGAGCCGCGCGACACCAACUGGGUGGCGGCCCCCGAAUUUUGAUCCGGCAUCCCCAUGCGGCUCACCUUCUGGAAAGAGAAGGGCCUGUCCUGGGGUUCGUCGGUGGAGCUGACCGGACUACAGAAAUGUAUCAAGAACAUGAUAAGCAAGAAAAUCAAGCUUGUCAACGUGGUCCAGGUCAUGCUCUUCCGCCGAAUCCUUCCGUGCCAAAGACGGGCAUUCAAUAUGUGGGAGUUUGACCUGGCCGAGCACCAGAUGCUGCGAGAGCUUUUUGACACGACGCACAAGGACGUCUGGAAGGUGCUGUUCAAGGGCGCCGAGGUACCUCCUCCCCUUACCGAGGAUCGCGGACUCAGCACAAAGCGCCCUGCCAAUCCGGUAAGUCUUUUAUAUCUCAUAAGAUGUUUCUUUCCCCCGUAUAAUCAUGCGUGGGAUCUAAGCCUCCACGCCAUUUAACAGGACUGGGUAGCGACAGUGGAGCAGAUCGAUUGUCCAGCCCCCCUGCCCGAAGAUCCAGCAGAUGCUCUCCUAACGGAGAUGCUGGUUCUAGCGCCUUAUGAGGCGCCGGAGAAGAAGGCCAAGAAGAAGGCCACGGGGACCAGGAAAGAUCUCCGGCGCAAGGUUAUAUCAGACUCAUCGUCCGAAAACACCGAGGCGCACUCCUCCCAUGAAGACGAGGAGGAGGAAGAGGAAAGUUCUCCCCCCAGCCCGGGGGACAGGAAAAGGAAGGCUGCCCCAUCAGGGGAGGCCGAAGGGUCCAAGAAGGGAAGGACCCUCCUUCCGGACUGCUCCACGACGGCCACUUUCAGCGACGAGGAGUGGUUACCCAGGGACAAGCCCCUGGCAAAGUCGUGAGUAUCCGGAUACCAUAAUAGUUCUUGGUAUGUUUUAUUUUAUUACUUCUUAUCACGCCGAACAUGAUUAUGCAGUCCAUCCCGAGCCCGUAUCGAUGUAUCUUCUUCGGAUGAUUCUUUGGGCCCGUCGGAUAUGAACAUCGAUUCACUCCCGACCGCCUCCUCCCCCCGCCCUACGGACGACGCCGAGGUGUUGUCUCAAAGGGCACUGAACCAAGGGGAGACAGUUCCGGAGGAGCCCCAAGGCGACAUUCCAGGCACUGGGCGCACGAGGGGCAAGACUCCCCUGGGCCCUAACGCCGGGGGCAGCAAGUCUAGCCCCCAGCCGAAUACUGCGCCGGAACCUCCAGUGGUUCCGGAUUCUGUCAGACAACCCCUCGCUAAGGGGGGCAAGCCGUCUGUGCCGAUGGCCUCUGUCCAUCUAGAGGCAUCGGACAACUUGCUGGAAGCGCUUUGUGACGCUUCCAUUGACGAAGAGCACCGCACUAUUAUGAGUGCGGUGGUCAAGAAGGUUCAAUCCGCCAAGAGCGGACUGACUGAAGCCUGUGCCAGCCUCCUAACAGGCUUUGAGGUAAGUAAUCAAAUUAUAAGAAAAUGUUACAACAUAGACAGUAGCCCCUGAUGCUCUGUUUGGCAUUCGCGAAGAAAGGCCGAAUAGAGGACCAAAUAAUAAUCGCAGGAGUCUAAUCAGAAUGUGUCUAUGUGAAUAAGCAGGCUUCACUGCUGGCCGCUGCCGCUCGUACUGCGGAGGUCGCUGCACUGAAGCGGGACCUUGAGCGGUCCAAGGAGGAGCUCGGCCUUACCAAGAGGCAGCUCGAAGAGAACAAAGGUAGGUGAUACCCCCUCUGUAUAUUAAUAAAGAAAAAUGUGGUUGUUGAAUAAUAGGAUCGUCAUGAAUUUUGCUAGGGGCCACGACCGAAGUGGCGGCCCUGAAGAAGGCGCUAUCCGAGGCCGAAGACAAAGCGGCCAAGGAGCGCAUCGAGCGAGAGAAGCAAGAGGCCCGAGUUGGCGAGGUGCAGCAAGAGCUCCAGGCUUUCGUCGAGAAAUACGAGUCCUUGGAGCGUGACUCUAAGACGCAAGGGUCCGAGCUUGCGAAGGCCCUCGAAAACGCACAAAAUGCCAAGGCCGAAGCCCAAAAGGCCCUCCAGGAGAUUCAGGCGGUUAAGAAGAUAGCGGCGGGUAAGGCAUUCAUUAUGCAAAGCAAGCAUGUGAAGGAAACUUUCCUUUUACUUACCCGAGUUCGGAGCUCUCCACGAGCGUUCGCAGAUCUACCCAGCAGUGUGUCGGAUGCCGCGGAGUUCUACCGGGCCGAGGAAGGGAGCUCGACGAAGAAGUUGUUCUGGUCUUAGUAUACUGGGACCGAACAUCCGAUGCCCUUGAGCGACCAGUUGAAGCAACUGGUCGAGCUUCACAAGGCGGCCGAACAGGCCAUGAAGGGUCUCAUAGUCCGGAUGUGGCCUGGCGAGCCCCUGCCUGGCAGCUACUUCGGUCUGGUAAGGCGGCUUGUUAAUGCCUGCCCACGGCUUGAAGUCAUCAAGCGGUCCGUCUGCAUUGAGGGUGCGCGCAGGGCCUUUCCCCGGGCGAAAGUGCACUGGGCGAAGAUGGACGCCGAAAAGCUGGUGAAGGAAGGGCCGCCGGAGGGCAAGGAGCAUCGCCACCCCAAAAAGUAUUAUGACAGUGUCCUGAAGGGUGCUAAGGAUGUAAUAUUUGAAUGAAUGUACUCAUGUGAUCCCGUAAUAUGAAACGAGUUCAUCUGCGCUAUGCAACGCUUGUUAAUUUAAAAUAUUACCUUCUAUGCGGUCGUUUAUAAAAUCUGAGAGUUGGCCAGUCAUCGGCUUCUGCCCCCAUGUAACUAGUACUGAGGUGUUCGGGAUAAACCUGAUCACUCUUUAUCCCAAUUUUGGGUCCUUCGAAGGAGGUGUUCAGCACAACGAACCCGGCAAUUGGACUAUAAAGCUUUAUCACUCUCACUUAGCCAUAGAAGUCUACAAUUUUAAAUUUUGGCGAAGCCCCUAGUAUUUGGAAGGCCGAAUUUGGGGCGCUAUAUACGCCUAAAUCGGACAAGGCAGACUCCUCGCCCGAAGCGGAAAAAAUCUUUAAGGAUUUGAGACCUCUCAAACAGCGACUAGCUCUCGCCGCAUCAUGACAGUCAGUUUUCGGCUUUCUCUACUGAGGUGCUUGUCCGGAAGAACCGGGACACAAUCGCAGUAGUUCUCCCAGUGCUACCUUAGCCGAUAUAGCGGAACGUAAGGUACCAAAACAUGGGAGCCGGGCAAACCCAACUAUUGACCCAAGACAUGAUUCGGAGCUGAUGCAUAUAAUGCUAUAAGUUCAGGGUGCCGCACUGUCGAAAGAGUUCGGACUUUUCGUGCCGUGUUAUGGGGUACACUGAAGCCCCUGGCGCACUGGUCGUACCAGAAUGUACGAGUGCCACUUGUCGUAAAUAAGCAGACAAGGAAAAAAAAGAAAUGCAAUAAUAGGCUAACGCUAUACAUUGUUAUUUAAAUAAUACGUCAAAGCGUACGUAUACAAGUAGUGCAAUAAGCAAAAAAUAGGACUAUUUGACAUAUCCUAUCCAAGGGCAAGCUGCGUAUGGGUAUGUAAAAACAGGUACAUCGAUCAUUAUCAGAGACCACCUGGGAAUUCCCUUGUACGUCAGAGCUUCUUGCUUCCUUGGUAUUUCCUUCCCGUAAUGAGUCAACAAUCAGACUGCCGGGGAGGGCUUCCAGAGGGUAAGGUCCUGAAAGAGAAAAAAUGAUAAAGGUAUACGGUCCCUGGGGCGGUUGAGCCGCAUUGUGGGCCGUGCCAUAGCCGUGCCUCCGCCUAUGCCCAUGGUUUCUUGAGUGCGUAGUUAUGUACGCGCGGCACAAAUUUCGCCGCUUGACUGGGACUAUGACGGAGGCCGAAUUGCUACCCGAGCUCUGAACGUGCCUGGAGAUCCUUUUGCAGGUUACUCCGGACUCGCUUGAAGGUGUCCGGGGGCCUUUUCGCCGAAUUGGCGGUUGGCCUCAGAAGGCUGCUUUGUGCUUCCACUGCGAGGGCUGUAGUGUGCUCCUCCGUGCGGAGCGAGCGUUCUGUGUUUCCAUUAACUGUUAUAACUCAGCGAGGUCCUGGCAUUUUGAGCUUGAGGUAUGCAUAAUGCGGUACCACAUUGAAUCUAGCAAAUGCGGUUCGCCCGAGUAGUGCGUGAUAGCCACUACGGAAGGGGACGAUAUCGAAGAUUAACUCCUCGCUUCGGAAAUUGUCCGGAGAUCCGAAGACCACUUCCAAUGUGAUUGAGCCCGUGCAACAGGUCUCUACACCUGGUAUGACACCCUUGAAGGUGGUUUUUGUGGGUUUGAUCCUUGAGGGGUCUAUACUCAUUUUGCGCACUGUAUCCUGAUAGAGCAGGUUCAGGCUGCUGCCAUCGUCCAUAAGGACUCGAGUGAGGUGAAAUCCGUCAAUGAUGGGAUCAAGAACCAAUGUGGCAGAACCGCCAUGACGGAUACUAGUGGGGUGGUCCCUGCGAUCGAAAGUGAUCGGACUAGAAGACCAUGGGUUGAACUUUGGGGCGACUGGCUCCAUCGCAUAGACGUCCCUUAGUGCACGCUUCCGUUCCCUCUUGGGAAUAUGGGUUGCGUAUAUCAUGUUCACCGUUUUCACGUGGGGAGGAAAUUUCUUUUGUCCUCCUGUGUUCGGCGGCCGGGGCUCCUCCUCAUCGUUGCUAUGCAGCCCCUUUUCCUUGUUUUCGGCAUUCAACUUGCCGGCCUGUUUGAACACCUAGCAUUCUCUGUUGGUGUGGUUGGCUGGCUUAUCGGGGGUGCCAUGAAUUUGACACGAGUGAUCGAGUAUGCGGUCCAAAAUGGACGGGCCCGGAUUGCUUCUUUUGAACGGCUUUUUCCGCUGACCGGAUUUAGAGCCACUGAAUCCGGCAUUGGCUGCCGUGUCUUCGGCGUUGUCGCCGUUGUUGCGGCGCUUGUGUCUGUUGCGACGUGGUCUGCCGUUAGUAUCUUUGGCAUCUGAAUUGCCAGGAUUUCUUGAUGUGUUGUUGCUGCGAGCCAGCCAGCUGUCCUCGCCCGCACAAAAGCGGGUCAUGAGUGUCGUGAGGGCUGCCAUGGACUUCGGCUUCUCUUGGCCGAGGUGUCGGGCGAGCCACUCGUCACGGAUGUUAUGCUUAAAUGCCGCUAAGGCCUCGGCAUCUGGAUAGUCGACAAUUUGGUUCUUUUUAGUUAGGAACCGAGUCCAGAAUUUCCUGGCCGAUUCCCCUGGCUGUUGGGUUAUGUGGCUCAAGUCAUCAGCAUCCGGUGGUCGCACAUAAGUGCCCUGGAAGUUGUCAAGGAAUGCAUCUUCCAAAUUCUCCCAACUGCCAAUGGAGUUUGCUGGCAGGCUAUUCAGCCAAUGCCGAGCUGGUCCUUUGAGUUUUAGUGGGAGAUACUUGAUGGCAUGUAGAUCGUCACCGCGGGCCAUGUGGAUGUGGAGGAGGAAAUCCUCGAUCCAUACCGCGGGGUCUGUUGUACCAUCGUAUGACUCAAUGUUCACGGGUUUAAAUCCUUCUGGGAAUUCGUGAUCCAUCACUUCAUUAGUGAAGCAUAGGGGGUGUGCGACGCCUCUGUGCCGGGCUAUGUCAUGACGCAGUUCAUACGAGUCUUGUCUGCUGUAUUCGGCCCGACCAGAUUUGCUUUUAGUGUAUCCGGUGUGACGAUCGCCGUCACGCGUUGGGGCGCACCCCCGUGAUCCGUAGAUCGAUCUUGUAUGUCCUGCUUUGUUUUCCAAUACGUCUCGAAGGUCCUGCUUGUUGCCCCGGGCCUCGGUGUUUUUGUUUGACUGGCGACGGGGUGCGGGCUGGACUUCGGGCUGAUAUGCCGCUCUGUCUCGGCCACGAGGUGGCCGAUCAGCCGGUGCUUGGGUUGCUUAUCGGAGGGAUUAUCCUCCGUUGCCUUAUCGCCCUUGCCUUCUUUGGGGGUGUCCACCAUGUAUAUAUCAUAUGAUGAGGUGGCCGUCCAGCGCCCUGUGGGCGGUGGUUCCUGUUCGUCUCCUGCAUCGUCGUCCAUACCGUCGAUGUCUUCGGAGCCGAAAUCGAGCAUGUCGGUUAAGUCGUCGACAGUGGCUAUUAAGUGGGUGGUGGGUGGGGAACGAAUUUCUUCGUCGUCCGCUUCCCACUCAAGCCGGGCAUAGUUCGGCCAAGGGUCUCCUGACAAGGAGAGAGACCUCAAUGAAUUUAGCACGUUGCCCAGGGGCGAGUGCUGAAAGAUAUCCGCAGAGGAAAACUCCAUGAUCGGUGCCCAAUCAGAUUCGAUAGGCACGGACGCAAGCGGUUCGGAGCCCGUGGCCGGGGGCGAAUCCAAGUGUCCGACAACACAUGUCUCAUAGGAGGUGAAGUUAGCAUUCGGCUCUAUCGCCGCUGAGUGCGCGGCCUCCAUGGCGGGGUCUAUCCACCCGUCCUCGGAAGGCACGAUCUACUCCGGAUUGAGGGCCGGAGUAGACGCAGGUGUGAUCUCCCGAACACUGUCCGACGGCAGAGCUAAGUCGUGCUCGUCGUGACUGUGCGGCGCACCUGACAUGGGCUCGAAUCCGUCGAAGAUCAAGUCUCCGUGGAUGUCGGCAGUAUAGUUCAAGCUUCCGAACCUGACCUGAUGGCCAGGGGCGUAGCUUUCGAUCUGCUCCAGAUGGCCAAGGAAGUUGGCCCGCAGUACGAAGCCGCCGAAUACGAAGAUCUGUCCGGGGAGAAAAGCCUCACCCUGGAUUGCAUCGUUGCCGAUGAUCGAAGGAGCCAUCAAGCCUCUAUCGCGAUAGCACAGUGGAACUCAAUGAAAGCACCAAUGUCGGUGUCAAAACCGGCGGAUCUCGGGUAGGGGGUCCCGUACUGUGCGUCUAGGGUGGAUGGUAACAGGAGGCGGGGGACACAAUGUUUACCCAGGUUCGGGCCCUCUCGAUGGAGGUAAUACCCUACUUCCUGCUUGAUUGAUCUUGAUGAUAUGAGUAUUACAAGAGUUGAUCUACCACGAUAUCGUAGAGGCUAAACCCUAGAAGCUAGCCUAUGAUUAUGAUUGUUGUUGUCCUAUGGACUAAACCCUCCGGUUUAUAUAGACACCGGAGGGGGCUAGGGUUACACAGAGUCUGUUACAAGGGAGGAGAUCUACAUAUCCGAAUUGCCAAGCUUGCCUUCCACUCAAAGAAGAGUCCCACCCAGACACGGGAUGAAGUAUUCAAUCUUGUAUCUUCAUAGUCCAACAGUCCGGCCAAAGUACAUAGUCCAGCUGUCCGAGGACCCAUUAAUCCAGGACUCCCUCAGCCGCCAUGGUGCAGAUGCGCGCCAUCACAGAGGAGACGGCGGGAGGAAGGUGAAGCCGAGCAGGGGAGGGAUGGAGAAGGCAGAUCGAGAGAGGGGGAGAAGCGGGAGGGUGGCGGCGCUAGUCAGGGAGCAGCGAGAGAGGGGGAGCAGCGAGCAUAACUUGCUCGGAUGAAGGCGGAACACAAACAGUUUGCAGCGCUCGGUGUCUCACGAAUCUGCCAGCAGCAUAGGUCCUUCUCAAACGGGCUUGUCUUGCCCAACCGGACAUUGACGCACACUUUGAGAGCAAUUUCAUCUCUCAACUUGCACCGUCCGCCGACAGGGGAUAACGGCGGCGCCUGUGUCGGUGAAGGCGGUAGGUCGUUGGCACAUGUGUUAUUUGAGGCCAGAGCUAGGACGAUUGCGAUGAGAAGUAGGGCACAAGAGGAUUUUAUGGCUUUGGUGUUGGUGGUCGCCAUUGUCGCUGAUCCUUGCUUGUUGUGUGGGUGAGCGGAUGGAUGCUUUUGCAUGUGGAGACUUGGAAUGUAUUUAUAGGAUGCAUGUGAAAUUGUUAGGCAAGGCGAUUAGUACUCCCGCACGUAGAGACUACGACCCAUCAUGGCUCACGCCAAAGAAUAGUAUAUUUUAGGCAGUUCAUCGAAUGUGGUAUCGGACUAAUUUAGUUCUUUUUGAAGUCUUAAUUAAUACAAGAGUACAAUAAGAAAUUAUGCUAUAGAUGAAAUGGCUACUAAUGGCGCACCAGACAUGUGGUGCGCCACUACUAUGUAGCAGUGGCGCACCAUGUGCUGGUGCGCCAUUAGUGUGAAAGACACUAAUGGCGCACCAGACACACGGUGCGCCACUAGUAACAAUUUUUUUUCCAAACAUACUAAUGGCGCACCAGGGCACAGUGCGUCAUUACUAGUUCUAACUAGUAAUGGCGCACCAGCCUCAUAGUGCGCCACUACUAUAUAUUUUUUUUUGCAAAACUACUAAUGGCGCACCAGUGUAUAGUGCGCCAUUACUAGUUUAAACUAGUAAUGGCGCACUGUGCCCUGGUGCGCCAUUAGUGUAUAUAAUUUUUUUUUGCAAAACUACUAAUGACGCACCACCAGCAGGUGCGCCAUUAGUAACCAGGGUUACUAAUGGCGCAUUUGUAGGUGGUGUGCCAUUAGUAACCUGGGGCAGCUAGAUAUUUUGGACAGCCACACCUACCCACUCACUUUCCCCACUUCAUUCUCUCCACCUCCUCCUCCAAGCUUGUCUCGGCUGCCUCCUCCUCCUCACCUCAUUUGCACCAUAAAUUCAUCCAAAUUAAGUGGUUAAAUUACCUUUUUUUGAUAGGUAAGUAAGGGGGAAGCUAUCUUUAUGUUGUUCUCCCUCCAACAACGUGCACAUGCACUUUUUAUGGCCUAGCUAGAUCUAUGUAUGUUUGUGGUGUUGCAUAUGUUUGUGGUGUUGCAUAUAUGUUUGUGUUUGCAGGUACCGGUAUUUGAAAUGCGAUAGUUGCCAAUAUUUUGCCGGAAUGUUGAUUCAUUUCCGUUUCGGCGAGAAUUUUGGCACUAUGCAUUCUUUUUUGUCCUAUUUUUAGGGAAAGUCAUGCCAAAUUUUUUCUUGGUUCUAAAAUAUCGUUUUGCUCUACCCCGCAGGUGACCAUGGUCCGCACGAUAACCGAAGGCAUCGUGAAUAGGUUUUUGAGCUCUGCGAAGGCCGAGAUGCUUGAAAAGAACAAGAUGGAGAUAAGAUGUCCGUGUCGAAGUUGCAAGCUGAAGAGCCUUAUUGCGGACCCGGAUUCCGGGCAGGUGCGGGACCACUUGCUUUUGCGUGGUUUCAUGGAUGGCUAUCGGUGGCAAGGUGAUGAAGAUGACUAUGAAGUCGUCCAUGGGGGCCGGGCAAGAAAUGAGGAAGGGCAGCAAGACAACCACCGCGGCUCGGGCGGGCGAGAAGACGAAGAAUCUCCAGGACAUGAUCACGACGGUGAUGCUGUACACAGUCAUCAUGUAGAAGAUGCCGGACAUGAUGAUGAGGAAGAUGCGGGAGCAGACGAAGGGCAUGAUCAUGAAGAUGAAGAUGCCGGCGGAGCAGACGACGAUGGACCAUCGAUGGGCUGGGUGCAGGACCCUCAUAUUCAAGAGCUGCUUCUCAAGCAGACGGAUAACGCAAGAGCUGCCGCCCGAGAGAAAGCCAAGCUGGAUCAACUGGAGAUAGACGUGGUUACUCCAUUGUAUGAAGGAUGCAGGCCCGAGGAUACCCGCCUGAAAGUAACUCUCAUGGCUCUGGAGAUGAAGGUAAAACACAAAAUGACCGACGCAUGCUUCGACGAGAACAUGUCAUUCUGGCACGAACGUCUUCCCAAGGGGAACAAGUGCCCGACCAGUUUCGAGGAGGCGAAGAAAAUCGUGUGUCCUCUGGAUUUACCGCACGUGAAAUACCAAGUGUGCAUGAACAAUUGCAUCAUUUAUCGGGACGAGCACGUGGAGUCUACCAUAUGUCCGGUGUGCGGCGUCACUCGAUACAAGAAGAGGAAGAAAGCUCCUCGAAAAGUGGUGUGGUACUUUCCGAUCACUCCUCGUCUGCAGCGGUAUUUCGCGGACCCUAAGGUAGCAAAGCUCCUGCGUUGGCACGCGGAUAGGGAGGAGAAGAAGCGAGAAGAUGACGCAAAUGAUCCGGAGAUAAAUAAAAAAGACAAGAUGCUGAGUCACCCUAAGGAUGGGAGCCAGUGGCAAGCGUUGAACUUCGAACACCCAGAAUUUGGGAAGGAUCCAAGGAACAUCGUGCUGGGCGCGAGCACCGAUGGAGUCAAUCCGUUUGGCAGCCAGAGAAGCACACAUAGCACCUGGCCUGUGUUUGUGUGGAUGUACAACCUUCCCCCCUGGUUGUGCAUGAAGAGGAAGUACAUUCACAUGAGUAUGCUAAUUGAAGGGCCGAAACAACCAGGGAACGACAUCAAUCUGUAUCUGGGGCUGCUGAAAGAGGAGCUAGACAUGCUGUGGAAAACGCCAGCCAAUACGUGGGACGCCGCAGAGAAAGAAUAUUUCCCUAUGAGAGCCGCACUGCUCACGACGGUGCACGACUAUCUCGGUUACGGAUAUCUCGCGGGGCAGGUGGUCCACGGAUUUUCUGGAUGCGUCAGGUGUAUGGAUGACACAACGUAUCGCCGGCUAGAUAGAGAUCCUGGGUCUUCGAAAACCGUGUUCAUGGGACCCGAAGGUGGCUUCGCGACGAUGACCCGUGGAGGAAACGCAAGGAUCUGUUCGAUGGUGAAACCGAACCCCGAAGACGCCCGCGUACGAGGAGCGGCGAGGAAAUAGACGAGCUUUUGAAAAAUUGGAAAGAUUGCCCAGUGCCGAGAAAGAAGCAAAAGGCGCCAGAGCCGGGAAAGAAGCGAAAGGCGCCAGAGCCGCUGCUGAAGGUAUGGAAAAUGAGGUAUGUUUUCUGGGACUUGCCGUACUGGAAGAUCCACCAUGUGCCUCACAGCCUUGAUGUCAUGCAUAUCACGAAGAACGUGUGCGAGAGUCUGCUUGGUACCCUGCUCAACAUGCCAGAGAGGACCAAAGAUGGGCCGAAAGCAAGGGCAGACUUGAAAUCAAUGGGCAUCGGGGAGGAGCUUCACGCUAAUGAUGAUGAUGAUGAGGCGAGGCAGGACACGGAAAGUCGUCGCAAAGGCAAAAAGGCCAAGAAGACCGGAAAUGACUUCCCUCCCGCGUGCUUCACUCUAAGUCAGGAGGAGAUCGAUCAGUCUUUCACCUGCCUCGUAGGAGUAAAACUUCCUUACGGUUACGCGGAGAAGAUAAGCAGAUACCUAGACUCAGCGAAGCAGAAGUUCAGCGGGAUGAAGUCUCACGACUGUCACGUGCUGAUGACGCAGAUACUUCCAGUUGCAAUCCGUGGGAUCAUGGACGCGCACGUCCGUGAAACGCUAUUUGGCCUAUGCAACUUUUUCGACGUCAUCUCUCGGAAGUUGGUUGGCGUGAGGCAACUCAGAAGUCUACAGGAAGAGAUCGUGGUGAUACUAUGCGAGCUUGAGAUGUACUUCCCGCCCGCAUUCUUCGACGUUAUGGUGCAUCUGCUGGUCCAUAUCGUGGAGGAUAUCAUCCAACUCGGGCCGACGUUCCUGCACAGCAUGAUGCCAUUUGAAAGGAUGAAUGGUGUCAUCAAAGGAUACGUUCGCAACAUGUCACGUCCAGAGGGAAGCAUAGCCAGGGGCUUUCUGACCGAAGAGUGCAUCUCCUACUGCACGAAUUAUUUAGGCAUCGAGAACCCCGUUGGUCUGCCCGUCAACAGGCACCUCGGCAGGCUCGCUGGAUGGGGUCACCGUGAGGGUCGCCGCGAAAUGCAUGUCGACUUCGAGGGUCGACUCGCCGACUUUGAAAGAGCAAACCUAGUCACGCUACAACACAUAGACGUGGUCGAUCCUUGGGUGGUAGAGCACAAAACCUUUAUUGAGAAGACGUACAAUGACCGAGGCCAACAGAGGACGGACGGAGAUAUAAUCAAAGAGCACAAGUCAUGUUUCACGCGUUGGUUCAAGCAGAAGCUUCUACCGUACCCUUUACAUGAGGAUUCUUUCGCGGAAGAACAACUCAUAUUCGCCUUGUCACAGGGCACCGAGCACAACCUGAUGACGUACGAGGCGUACGAUAUCAACGGCUACACAUUCUACACUGAGGACAAGGAGAUGAAGAGCGAUGGUUAUCAGAACUCCGGGGUAACGAUGGAAUCCUACACCGGUAACGACAAGGACAGAUACUACGGAAGGAUCGAGGAGAUCUGGGAGCUGAGCUACGCUGGAGAGAAGGUCCCGAUGUUCCGUGUCAGAUGGGCCAAGAGCGUCAUAAAAGAAGACCGGUAUUUCACCACCAUGGUUAUACCCGAAGCCAAAUCCAAGACCGCAGGCGCGAACAUCACCGCGAAAAAUGAGCCAUGGGUACUGGCUUCCCAAGUGGACCAAUGCUUCUUCAUUACCGACCCGUCAAAGCCCAGUCGUGUUGUCGUGAGGAGAGGCAAAAGGAAGAUCAUCGGAAUGGAUGGAGUCGCCAAUGAGCAAGAGUUCGACAAGUACGGCGACCCGAAGAUGGAACAUGACGACGACGAUGAAGUAUCAGCAUACACCACAAGAAGAAGCAGGACCACCCUACCUAAAGGACGUCCGUUCAAGAGAAGAACUCCAUUUACGAAAAAUAAGGGCAAGAAGAUUGUGAACAGAUAGCUAGCUAAGAUCGAUUGUAUUUAAAUUCUAGCCUUCAUUUCUCGAUUGUAUUUCAUGGGCACUUUCUGAACUCAUGAAUAUUUUUAAAUUUCAUGGACACUCGAUCUCGAUCCCCCUCCAUCUUGAUCGCUAUCCCACCUCGCCAGAUCCGGUCCCCCUCGCCGCCGAGCACCCCCCCGCACCCUCUACCUCGCUCCACCGGCCGCCGCCGCCGACCCCCCGCACCCUCCCCUGCUCCACCGCCGCCGAUGACCCACCGCAUCCNNNNNNNNNNNNNNNNNNNNNNNNNNNNNNNNNNNNNNNNNNNNNNNNNNNNNNNNNNNNNNNNNNNNNNNNNNNNNNNNNNNNNNNNNNNNNNNNNNNNNNNNNNNNNNNNNNNNNNNNNNNNNNNNNNNNNNNNNNNNNNNNNNNNNNNNNNNNNNNNNNNNNNNNNNNNNNNNNNNNNNNNNNNNNNNNNNNNNNNNNNNNNNNNNNNNNNNNNNNNNNNNNNNNNNNNNNNNNNNNNNNNNNNNNNNNNNNNNNNNNNNNNNNNNNNNNNNNNNNNNNNNNNNNNNNNNNNNNNNNNNNNNNNNNNNNNNNNNNNNNNNNNNNNNNNNNNNNNNNNNNNNNNNNNNNNNNNNNNNNNNNNNNNNNNNNNNNNNNNNNNNNNNNNNNNNNNNNNNACCGUCACAAAUGAAUGCAACUAAAAUUGCAAAAAAAAAAUUUGAUUAUAUUUUCAAAUAACAAAUUUGAUGAUUUUUUCAAAUAAUAAAUUUGAUGAUAUUUUUUCAUAUUCAUAAAUAUUUUCAAAUAAAAAAUUUGAUGAUAUUUUUAAAAAAUUAUUACUGUUUUUAUAAAAAAUUAUUACUGUUUCAUAUUCAUAUUCAUUUUCUAAAAAAUUAUUAGAUGCAACAAAAAAUAAUUAAAAAAUUUACUUAUGGCGCACCUCUAGCUGGUGCGCCAUUGCUAUAAAAAAAGAUUACUAAUGGCGCACCGAUCGUGGGUGCGCCAUUGCUAUCUAAAAAAACAUUCUAAUGCGCACCGCUUCGGGGUGCGCCAUUAGUAAGUUCCCCCCUAGCUAAUUCCUCUCUCUCCCUCGCCAGUUCCCCUUCGUCCCUCUCCCUCGCCAGUCCACCCGCGCGCGCACCACCGUCCGCUCCCAAUCCGCGCCCCCGCCGCCUCCCUCUCCCCAUCCUUCCCUUCCUCCCCUCCGACCCCACCCCACUCUCGCCGGAGCAGCGCCGCAGGGCCGACACCAACCUCUCCCUCGCCCGCGCGUGCCGCAACCUCCGCCUCGCCGAGUCCGGAGCUGCUCGUGGAGGAGACGUGGCUGGAGGCGCUCUCCGGGGAGCUGCUCAAGCCCUACGCGCUCAACCUCUGCCGCUUCGUCGCCCUCGAGCGCCUGCACGCCAAGGUGCCCGUCUACCCGCUGCCCCACCUCAUCUUCCACGCGCUCCACACCAGGAAAUUCGCCGCCAUCCUGCAGCAAACGCAGCCUGCAAAUGCCCCGCUGGUAUAGGCAAUUAAAAUCCUUGCUGUUUUCAUGCUGUUCUUAGCUCUGUACUUUCCAGUUGUGCAAAUUUUAGGACUUGUUGGGUGAAUUUUAGGCAUAUGUGUUGUAAUUCAGAUGUUUACAAAUUUAGUGCCACACUGAGAUUUUGAUCCACCAUCACCAAGUUCAGUAAAUCUUAACUCUUAAUGUCAGAUUGUUAAUUCUGAAACUGUAAUUUCUGGAGUACAUGUGGAGUAGUAGGAUCUGAAGAUUUUGUGUAUCUAGAUGUCGUUGCUGGAGUACACCAUCUACCAAAGUCACUGCAAUCAAGAGUACACAAAGUCUAGAUAUGCACCCUGUUCCUGUUAAUUCUGAAACACACCCUGUUAGUUGCUACUCCAUCUAACAGUGCUGCCACCAUGUUCCUGUCCUGUUAAUCAAGAGUGCUACUCCAUCUAACUGCCAUGAGGGAUUAUGGUGACUUUGCAAUGCAAUGCCAGUACUACACCUGACGAUUUGCAAUGCCAGUGUGAAUUUGCAGUGCAAAAAAAUUGCCAGGUCUACACAAUUGUUGUUCUAGUUACUUUCGAAACAAGGAGAGCUUUAAUGUUGACUAGCAUGCUGAUAAAUUAUGAGAAAUUAAAGUUUCUCAGAUAUGCCAGCAAGAAAAUUCAUGUUGUUAAAUUCACUGAAAAUUCAGUUAAUUUGGCUUUACUGAAAACCUUACUGAAACUAAAUUCAGUUAGCUGGGUCAUCUUCCACUUGAGAGGCUGGAAUGAUAUCAGUGGCAAUUAUUUCCUAUGAUAUGAUGCAGCAGUAGUAGUAGUAUAUUGUGCUUAGGGCAUGAAUCAUAUGCAGCAGUAGUAGUAGUAUUUUGUGAUGAGGUUGGAGAUUAUGACCCCCAAACUAAAUCUCCUAGGACCACAAAUCAUACCAUCUCAUCCAUAUAAGAAGCUUGAACAGCACCUUAACAAUGAGGCACUACUAAUUGGGCUGCUGUUUCCUCCCCAAAAGAAGGCAUAUGUGUGUUGCUUCUCAACCCUGGUGCCUUGCAGGUGAGAUCACCUGCUUUACAGCUUUCUCUUGCUGCAUAGGAAAGGUAUUUUGCAGUGCUCAAGCAAAGUGAGGAUAGUUUUUGCAAAACAGCUGAAUGUAACUGAAUUUUUGAACACAUGAAUUGUAGAUAGAUUCAGUUAACUAAGAUUGGCAGAAUAUCUUGUUUCAAAUAUAGCCUAUGCAUGUCUUGUUUUCUGGUUAUGGAUAUUGUAUAGUACUGCAUAUCUUGUUUUUUUGUAAUAUAAUGCUUACCAAAGGUUUCAAUAUUUUGCUGUUACCAUUGUUCUUUGAGCAUAAUUCUUUUUCAUUUCCUACUAUCCUUAUUCUAAUUCUCUUAAAUUGCUAUGUUGUGUGUAAUAGAAUUAGAUCUUGGAUCUGCUAGUGGACUUUGGGAGUUUGUUAGCCAGCUUGGUGACUCUAGAUUUUUUCUGUGAUCUGUGGCUGGCAUCUAGACAGCACACACAUACAUACAGAGGCACAUUGUGAAUCACAGACAGCAGAGCACACGCACAUGACACAUGUAUCAUGUAUCAGUAGAGUAAUUUGUACAGUCACACCAACUGUUUGUAAAAUUGCAGUGUUGAAGAUGUGUAUUUUCCAUUUUGAAGCUGGAAAUAAACUGCCAAAACUGAAAAAAAAUUGGAGUGUUGAAGAUAUGCUAGUGCUGAAUUUUAGUAGUAGACUAAAAUAAAUUUUAGAAUGAUUGAAUGUAUGCAGCCUGCAGUAGUGUAGCUGUACCAAAAUCACAUCUGCCCUAAUGUAUGCAGUCAUGUUUUUAUGCCAUUCUUACUUGUCCACUGGGACUUCUCUCCUGUGAUGUCUGUUUUGUUUCUGCAAAAACCCAUUCAGUAGUGUGGGACUGUGGAUCAUUAGCAAGGAAGCCGUGCUUUAGUUCAAGACUUCAGAGAUAUUUGCCUUUGCUUCAAUAGGUAGUUUGCUCACAGUCUAAGUUGAGCUGAUUUUGUUGGGUGACCUAUUAGAUCUGGAAUGGAAUGGAAGCUCACAUAAGUUGAGCUGCUUUUUAUCCAUAUGAAAGCAGAGGACCAUAUGGUCUGUGGCCUUUUCAUCCAUAUGAAAGUAGAGGCACAUUGUGUUGCUAGUUUGCUUGGUUUUGUCUCCGACCAUCGUGUCGUGAUGAUUUUGCAGGUACCCUAAGAGGCCCUUGAGUUUGCCGGAAUGUUGAUUAACUUCCGUUCCGGCAAAUUCAGGUACUCCAUAUGUCCUAUUUUCAGCAAAGGUCAUGCUGAAAUUUUCCGUGAACGUUAGCAUGACUUUGCUAAAAAUAGGACAUAUGGGGUACUUGCGACUAAUGCAUGGGCCGGGGUGUCUUAGUACUUAAUUAAGUAGGAUCAAUUGCCCCUUUAUUCUUGCUGCAUUAAACCAUAGGUGGCAAUAGAGCCAAGUGAUUAGGCCCAAAUGAUGAAAGCUUAGGCUUUUAGGGUGCCUUGGCGUCGACAAACCCUAAAUGAUAAAAGCUUAGCUUUUAGGAUGCCUCUCGGUGUCGACAAACCCUAAAUGAUGAGACCAUGAUCUUGUUCCUUGACAAUAACCAACUUUUUGACCAAACUUUUUUCCUAUUUAGAGCGAAACAUGGCCCACAACGAUCAGGCCGGCGGUUCGGGCGGCAAGCAAUUCUGGGAGUUGUCCCAGGAGCUGGAGGAAGAACCUCACCGCUAUGAGGACGCCGCGGAAGACACCGAUCCUGACUACACAACCCCUAGUGGCGUCGGGGAUGACACCACUGAUGGUGCCGCCGAGGAUGCCACCACUGAUGAUGGUAGCGCACGCACAGAUGGUAGCCAACCGAAGAGGCAACGGAAGGACCGGCGCCCGAGCGUGCUCGACACCGUCAAGGAGGAAUUUACUGAAGUGAACUCCGACGGGCAUCCAACGGCGCCCAAACAAGUAGUCAAGGGGUACUCGGUUCAGCUCGGGUGCAUUCUCCGGAGCACCGUCUCGAUCAACACCGAGAACCUAAGGCAUAAGGACCGAGGGAAUUUGCGCAGCCUCCUCUUCACGAAGCAACACGAAUGAUACAAGUCCCCCGCUGAGUUUGCAAACACACGCCUCUCAGGGAAUAAAGUGAACAGUGCCGCCCUCACGAGGAUGAGCACGGCCCUGUCUACAUGGAGAAGCACGGUGAAGGCAAUGAUUGAAAAAGGUGAUAGUUAUGAGAAGAUCAAGGUGAAAUAUCCUUUGAUGAGCGAAGAUGACUACAAGGAGUUCAAGAUCAAGUGCGAGAGCAGCGCAACCUCCGAAUCAAGUUAGUGGGGGAAAGAAAUGCGGUAGUUGAACUUAGGGGUCCACCAACUCGGUCCCGGCGGUUACAGAGUGGCGGAGCCUAUAUGGGACAAGGAGGACGCGGAGCGUGCCGAGCAAGACCUACCGCCCCGCUUCGAGAAAUUCCGUGACAAGCAGACCAGGAACUUUGUCAGGGCCCGGUACAAGGAGGACCCGGUAACAAAGGAGCUUACCACGGAUCCGAAGACCAGGGCGCUUGAGCUUGUUCUGGUAAGGAAUACACCCCCACGUAAUUAGCUCCAUAUGGUUGCAUUCUAAUUAAUGAAGCCAAAUUUCUAAAUGGUUCACAUUCCUUCCGCAGGAGGCUGAAAGCAGUAGCGCGGGGUCGUCUCAGAGCUCCCCUUUCGAUACCCCUUUAAAUAGGGCGUUGAACGUAAUGAAAAACAAGGAUAAGCUCAGUAAGCCGUCGUCAGCUGGUCGUGUGGCCGGCAAAGGCUUGUCCAAAAAAUGGUCGUCAUUUUAUACCGCUGGCGGGCAAAAGGAAAGACCAGCUCGGAAAGCCAGUCGCGCGAGGUUCAAGAAAUCAAGGCACAAGUGGCGCGGAUUCCGGAGAUUGUCCAAGAGCAUGUGCAACAACAACUGGGAACGACGCUCACCGCCAUUGUGCCUACCUUGAUUCAGGGGCUGACGACGUGGAUUGCGGGCGGCCAACAGGGGCCUCCCCCGGUUCCCAGCUUCACGGCCAGCAACUCGCACAACGCGCAGGCAGCGCCAUUGGUGUCUCUGGCGGAGGCGGUAUUCAUGUCUCCGGUGCCGGCACGGGCAUUGGAGCUUAAUGCACCCGGGUGUACGCCGGCCGGCACCUCGCCAGUAAGCGGCCCCUCCGUCAGUUGCACGCCCACCGUUGGCGGUGCCUCAACAUUAGCCGAGCUCGACGGCAUCACGGUAACUAAGCCUCUCGGCCGAUGACUUCAUCUCCUUGCCUUUGACUGGGCAUCCCUGACGCCCUACAUGUUUUCGCAGGGCGCCGCCAACGUUCCUUGCACUCUCCUGCACUUCGUGGGCGGCGAGUUGGUCGAUGUCGCCAAGGGCAGAAUCGUUCAACCGGGCAACCGCGUGUUCCACGGUAAUCCGAUGCCACCCACCUUGUAUAGGGUUGAAUAGGUUCGGGUGCUGCCAGGCUGCGACGAGUUGUUACCUCCGAUUCGACCCGCUGGGGCCGACGAAGAUGAUGUGAUGACCCUCAGCGCCUGUGUAAGCUGGCCCCUGCUUUGGCCGAAGAGCCAGAUUUGUUUGGGGGCGGGGGACACCACCCCACAGACAAGACCGCCAGUGGUGCCAGCGCCAAGCCAUGGCAAGAACGCCGCAACGCUACCGGACAUGCCGGACAUCCCUAUGGCACAGGAUCCGGACAUGCAUAUGGCACAGGAUCCAGACGACAACGACAACGACGACGGUACAUUUUCCAACGUCGAUAAGUACUUUGCCGAACAUGGGUACGGUGACGAGUUUUGCGGGCCUCCUUCUCAAGAACCCAACCCUGAAAAAGACAACCGCGAUCUAGCUGGUACGGCGGAGAAACCCAAUUGCAACAUGCGUCGUCUGGCGUUCAGUUCUCAGGAGACGCCUCCAGCUGCCGCCUUCACCGAGCCUGAGAUAGCUAAGGUGUGAAAUAUUAUCAGCCCCAACACGCUCAAGAAGGCGGUCUGUGAGCAGAACUCGAUCCCAUUACAGCAGAUCAGGAAGAAGGGACGGAAACGAAAGACUAACAAGGGCGCCAGUGCGAGCCAGCCGGCACCGAGUACGAUCCGUGCUCAGGACGGGCCACCUUCACCUAAGGAUAUCUCGAGGAGGGUGCAUGUGGCGGGUAGGGCGAUGCUACCGACAAGUAUGCUCAAUGCUGCAACCGGUGCUAUGCGGAGUCUGCAUGACAGUGUUCUUUCUUUGGAGAAGCAGCGUCUCAGAGAGAAUGAUGUGGCAUACCCGGUUUUCGUGGCCAAGGUGCCAGAGGGCAAGGGCUUUGUGGAUAGUGCCGUCGGGGGUACGAUCGUCCUGCGGUUUGAUGACAUCUUUGCUAUGUUUAACCUUCAUCCGCUGCACUACACCUUCGUUCGGCUGUUUUCGCUGAGUAUGGAGAUGCGGAUCAUUAGAGACAAGACCCCGGACAUUGUGAUAGUCGACCCCUUCUACAUGUGUGCCAAGAUCUUGGGCAGCGCUGGGGACCGGCAAGUCGCGAGUUCACACCUCGAAGGCGUCAUUCUAGCAAACCCAGAUAAGGAUAACUUCGUCGUGCCUUACUUUCCCUAGUAAGUCAUCCCCUAACCGCCCCGUAACAUAUGACUUCUUAGAUUUCGAUCGUUCUUUUUUUUUCCAACACUCCGUGUUCUGUGCAGUGACACACAUUGCACACUCAUCCUCUUAAGCCCAAAAUAUUCCAUGGCCACGUAUUUCGACCCGGACCGUGACUCCAAGAUAGACUACACAAAUAUCAAGAAAGUUCUUGAUGAUGCUCUCCCCGGCUACGCCGCAUCUGGAGGCACCUUUAAGAGGCUAGCUCGUAGGUACGGCAGGCACGUGUUCACCCACAAUACGACAUUCCCCCGCGUCAAGCAGCCGCCUGGCGGUCAGAAGGAUUCCUACUACGCCCUCCAUCACAUGCGGGCGAUCGUACGGGACCAUAAUCACCUUCUGCUACCAAAUAAUCUCAAAGAUUGGGCCGCAAGCUUGGCGGCAAUCCAGGACGCGGACAUCCGACAAGAAUUCUUUCGCAUCCAGUCGGAGUUUGCAGAAAUCAUCCAUCAAGAUGUCCUUCGUACCUCGGGGCAGUUCUACCUCAAAUAUCAACCGUCCAAUAGUGAGAUAGACACAACGCUACAAAUGCAGGCUGACAACGCCCGCGACUUCAUGACCAUCACGACAGAUGGCGGCUUCAUCCAUGCUCCGGUCCCAUGAGUCGAGUCGAAAGUAGUGAUGCUAUGUGUAGUUCUGAAACAUCGAUUAGCUCAUGUUGUAAUUAAACUUUAAUGAACUUGUAUGUCUCUUUGGUUUGGACAGUCGUUCAACUUAGAUGUAAUCGAUGCUAUUUAUUAGUAGGACCAUGAAUCGUGCUAUUAAUGUCUUGCUUUUCUCUUCCGAUCCUUUUGUUGCAUACUUAUAUAUUGCUUAUGUAUUGUCUGUUGUUUGGCUAGUGCAUAGAGAUGCCGUCGUAUGUUGUGUACAAGGGUAAGGUUCCCGGAGUCUACGACGACUGGGAGGAGUGUCGGGGACAGGUUCACCGUUUCAGUGGUAACAGUUACAAAGGGUACACCACUAGGGCGGAGGCGGAAUCUAGAUACGCGCGCUAUCUAGCGGGAGAGAGGAGGGAGCGUUGGAGGAACCGGAUGAAGACCAGUUUCAUCGCGAUGAUGCUCAUCGUGAUGAACGCAGCUCUCUUCUAUGUGAUGGUAGUUUAGAUGAUCGAUAUCGACUUGUAAUGUGAAGACAAACUCGCUACUCGCAGUCUCGAGACUUGUAAUGUUCUAUCUUUGUUCGGUCUUUUAAAUUCGGAGACUAAUAUGAUGAAUUGUAUUCGGAGACUAAUCUUCUAUUGUAUUCGAUGAAUCUGCUGUUGCUGUGUGGUGCUGUCUAUAUUAUGUCCAAUAAUAUAUUUUGUAAUCUGUGCAAAUAUCAAAAAUAAUCCCUAAUAUACAUACUAAUGGCGCAUCACCCCAACGUGCGUCAUUAGUAUGCCAAAGGAUACUAAUGGCGCAUCACCCCGCAGUACGCCAUUAGUAUGGCAAAGCACAUGGGUAUAUAUGGCCCCUGGGAGGCCAUACUAAUGGCGCACCUGCUCCUAUACUAAUGGCGCACUCCGUGGUGCGCCAUUAGUAUUUAAUACUAGUGGCGUGGUACUAGUGGCGCACCAGUAGUGCACCAUUAGUAGGCAAAACUGGUGCGCCACUAGUAGGCCUUUACCUAGUAGUGUACCACGCGUGUCCACAACCAAGAUCAAACUGUUUGAUAUCCUCAGAAGCUAAAAUGAGGACCCAUUAUUAAAUAUUUGAGCGGGGUAUGAGCAUGUAAAUAUUGAGCCAUAAAUACAUUUUAAUAAAUUCCACAAGUGUAUAGUAGCCUUUCACUAAACGUUGCCUUAUCUUCUUGAAGGAUGAAUAUAUAUUCUUUCUCUCCAUGAUUUUGAAAACCCUUGCACUUGGUCAGCAGAAUUCCAUCACACGUCAAGUCCAGCACAUGCGCAUAGGCAAUUAAAAUGGUGAUCCUUGAAAGUGUCACUUGUAGUUAAGGAAUCCUACAUGAAUGACAUUCAUCUUAGAUCAUGUGACGACUUGCAAAACCUACACGUUGAUAGUGAAAAGUGUCCUUGGGAGCCCGAGCCAAAAAAUGAGUGAAUUUGGCUACCCGAAUUUAACUGUUUAUUGGUGUAGUCGUACUCAAUGCUUACCACACGAAGUCGCUCUUAUGCAUGAGAACUUUUACAAACCGUAUAAUCCCAUUAUGUCCAUUUUUAUCAAUGCACGCCAAAGAAUAUCCUAGAUUGCACCGGAGUAAAAAAAUCUUCUAUUCAUACAGAGAAUUAGUAAACUCUAUAUAUAUGAUCUUAUUUAGGGUGUCCCUCACAUAUAGUGCGACGACUAAAAUUGUAGUUUUUUAGUUUCAACAUCUUGUGUAUUUUUUGCUUAUUUUAUCUCGCACUUCAUUUUGUACGAAAUGUAAUGACGUUGAAUUCGGCACCGCCUGAGAUCCCAAUAUUCAAUUGUAGAAAUACAUCUCCUGCUAUUCGAGUAAAUGAAUGUUAAUUUCGUUCUCCUCAAAACACUAGAAAAUCUCUUUUAAGUGUGCACCGUCUUGUUUGCCGUGUAUCCCAAAUGCUGAGUGAAAUUAGUCUGUCAGUAUUAUUUUGCCCUGCCAUUUUUAGGGUGGCCUUUAAGCCUAGAAUUGACCCUAUUUUUGCAUACUUACCAUUUCCAUCAACUAAAUUUAUCGACCCCAUCCUCGUCUAAUAAAUGUAUUAAUAUAUAGAAAACUAACUACUUAGCGACAACAUCACUCUGGCUUGUUGAGUGCUGAAAUGAGGAUAAAGGCGACUUGGUGUCCGAGGAUCAUAAACUUUGACGUGCUCCCCAUUCUUUAGUUAAUUAUGGAUUAUUAAUUUCAUCAAUUAUUUCAUGUAAUAUUUUAGAUGGAGAGGCUCGGAUUGUUGUCUCCUGUUUUGGAAAAAUAGUAAGUGUUGGCGGUGGUCAUUCGACAGAGUUACGUUGGAUCUUGCACCUAGGUCUGACACCGUUGGCACACUCCAUUGGAUGCUAGGCGUCUGGCACGAUGUGAUGGAUUGUCACCGUCAGGGGAUUCAUUUUUACGUGAGGUUCCUUCUAUAGACAAUGGUUCAAGUUUGUCACAUUGUUGUUGAGGAAUCUAGAAUUCAGAUAUGAUCAUCUCUCUCGUAGUGAAAUAAACAGAGCAUGGCCAAGCACAUGCAAUCCUAGCUUUGGUGAUACCACAAACUUUUCUUCGUACCUUUUAGCAUGUUAAACCUCCAUAUGAGGCAGUUUUCUAAGACCACCAGCACCACAGGUGUUUUGUCAUCAAAUGGCGUAUUGUCCUAUCACAUUGAUUUUGUUUUGCCACGACCUCCUCGAAUGUCCAAACAUCAUGAUCUUUUGCACACACAUCACACAUUCGAGCAUCUUCCAUGCCAAAAAAAUUAGAUGAUAUUACUGUUCACACACAGGUGCAUAUACACCUGCGCACCGAAUCAAAUAUUGGUAUGGGUUUUUGUGGCACACAUAGUUAUGUACUACUAUCCACUCUACUGAUGCUAUAGCAACCACUAACAAUGAGAACAUCAAAAGUAACAUUUGGAUACACAUGUUUAUUUGCUAAAAUUCAAAUAGAAUAGUCAAACAUAAAAUUUUAGAGGAAUCAUGGCAGGUUACUCAUGUGUUACAAAGAGCACCAGUGGGAUUUUCCUCUGCAAGAAUUGAAUCAUCUAAAACUUAAAUUCCAAUGUUCUUCCUUUGUUUAAAAUUAACCUUGUGAUAUUUUAUCGCAUUUCGAACAAUUCCACCAUAACCCUCUGUAUCGCUGCACUUAAUCCAACGUGUGAAAAAUGGGAAAUUGAGUCAGGAACAAUGGCCUCUACUAUUCUGCAAUGAAAAGAAUAUCAAAUCUUAUGUCGCAAAUCAACGAGUUGUUCGUAUAUAGCUCAUCCAAACAGUACCGCUGUGCGUAGUUCAAAGAAAAUUUGAGUUCUUCUAUAGCAAAUAAUCAAUUAUACUUUAUGUGGUGCUUGUUUAGUGUAUCUAAAUAGCUAUAUUUACUAGACUAUAAACAUGACAUUAUAUUGUUCACGUUAGGAUUUGUUCUCUGCUGGUAGUGACACAAGCUCUAGCACAGUGGAAUGGGCAGUGAAAGAGCUGCUCGAAAACCCACAUCAAUGUCCAGCGCUUGCAACGAGCUUGCAGAAGUUAUUGGCUUCAAAAGAAACAUUGAAGAAGAUGAUAUUGUUCGGUUGCCCUAUCUCCAAGCUGUCAUAAAAGAUACUUUUCGACUUCAUCCUCCCGGGCCACUCUUGUUGCCACGCAAACCUGAGAGGACAGUGGAAAUAGCAGGUUACACAAUACCUAAAGAUUCACGUGUGUUCAUAAAUGUAUGGGCGAUAGGUCGAGAUAAAGAUGUAUGGUCUGAGCCUGAGAAGUUUAUGCCAGAGAGGUUCUUGGGUUCAACAAUUGACUUUAGGGGUGCUGAUUUUGAGCUCCUACCAUUUGGUGCUGGACGUCGGAUCUGCCCUGGAAUGCCAUUGGCUAUUAGAACGGUGCAGUUGAUCCUCGCUUCGUUGUUAAAUCAGUUUAAAUGGAGUCUCCCUAUUGAGCUUGAACGGGAUGGAAUUGAUAUGGAAGAAAAGUUUGGCCCAUCACUAACGAAGGUCGUGCCUCUUUGUAUUGUACCAACACCGGUUUGAAUUCAUAAAAAAAAUGUGUCCCUAGUAAGAUUGCUUUAGAUGUUUUCAAUAUGUAAUAAUUGAAAUGUAUCACCCAUGGAAUUUAUGCCAUUAUUUAUGUGAUAAUUAAAUAAUUAUUCUUGAAAACUUGACUUUCUCGCACUGCGUAAGAUGAAUGAUAUGUUUUUUUUUCUUUUUGUGGGGAGAUAUGUUGUGUUACUAUGAUGUUGAUCAUACAAAGAUAUUCAUACAUGCCAUCCUAUACAUCAAAAUUAACUUUUGAGGUUUGUGUAACUCCAUGUUGCAAAAAAUUCAAUGUGUCAAUGAAAAAAUACAACACUUCAUUCACAUGCGAUACUAGUAGUACCAGAUUUCGAUGAGAUAGUAUUGAGAGCCUUAAAAAGAAGAAAAAUGAUUAGAUUAAUUUGGCAAUGUCACCUUUACACCUUAAGUAUUAUGUUGGAACAAUAGUGAUUGUUCUCGCAAAAAAGGAAAUAAGGUAUGUAUAUUUUCAGAUAGGAAUAUCUACACCAUUCAAAGAUUCUAAAAUUUCAUUGUUCAUAAUUCGACACCAUGAGAAGUAUCCUCUCCAACGUUCGGUAAUACUUACAUCCAAAAUAUUUCACAUUAAAAUCCUCUACACAUUCCAAAGUUCAUAAAUUUAAUAUGGAUGGGGCAGUUGCCAGGAACGGUAAUAGGUUUAAUAUGGAUGGGGCAGUUGCCAGGAACGGUAAUAGGUGUGUUAUUGCAGUUGUAUGCCAGGAUGAGAAUGGUGUCUACCUAGGAUCAUUUGCUGUGAAUUCGAAUUAUACGGAUGAUUGUCCAGCACCUUUCAAUCCUCGCAGCAAUCACUUAGGGUAGCGAAGGAGAACCACACUAGUCUAAGUGAUUGCUAAAACACAAAUGAAUGACCAUCCAUGCAAAUAAUGCCACAGGCAGUUCUGCAAUUGAACUGGCUGAAAUUCUAAAGGAAAAUCCUGCUCCGAGAACCAACCGAGUCAAGUGUGUUAGAGCAUCUACAGCUGGGUGCCCCAAACCCCACAUCAUAUGCCCGGGCGGACAACCCAGUCACUGACCGGCCAAAAAACGAUCCAAACGGGCAGCUCAAACCGGCCUCAAACACCCAGGUUGACCGGUACCCCUCGUAUCCAGCCCAAAUUGGGAUUGAUAUGGGGAGGCCCGGGCGUGACCAGCCGCGUCCGCCGCGUCGGACCCGAUCCACGCUGACCCACCCGACCCAAUAUAUAAUCGUCCCCAUCUGUUCCCUGCACCAAACCCUAGCCACUCCACUCUGUUGGGGAACAUAGUAUUUCAAAAAAAUUCCUACGAUCACGCAAGAUCUAUCUAGGAGAAGCAUAGCAACGAGUGGGGAGAGUGUGUCCACGUACCCUCAUAGACCAAAAGCGGAAGCGUCAAGUAACGCGGUUGAUGUAGUCGAACGUCUUCGCAAUCCAACCGAUCUAGUACCGAACGCACGGCACCUCCGCGAUCUGCACACGUUCAGCUCGGUGACGUCCCUCAAACUCUAGAUCCAGCUGAGGCCGAGGGAGAGUUCCGUCAGCACGACGGCGUGGUGACGGUGAUGAUAAAGUUACCGGCGCAGGGCUUCGCCUAAGCACUAUGACGAUAUGACUGAGGUGUAAAACUGUGCAGGGGGGCACCGCACACGGCUGAAGAUCAACUUGUGUGUCUAUGGGGUGCCCCCUCCCAUGUAUAUAAAGGAGGAAGGGAGGAGGAGGCCGGCCAAGAGGAGGUGCGCCCAAGGGGGGCGUCCUACUCCAAGUAGGAUUCCCCCCCCCCCUUUCCUACUUCCACAAGGAGAAGGGGGAAAGAGGAGGAGGAGAGAAAGGAAAGGGGGGCCGCCCCCAACCCCUAGUCUAAUUCGGUUUGGGUUUGGGGGGGGGCGCCUCCCUGGCUGCUGCCUCCUCUCUUCCACAAGGGCCCAUGAAGGCCCAUUAACCCCCCGGGGGGUUCCGGUAACCCCCCGGUACUUCGGAAAAUACCUGAUACACUUCGGAACUAUUCUGGUGUCCCAAUAUAACCUUCCAAUAUAUCAAUCUUUAUGUCUCGACCAUUUCAAGACUCCUCGUCAUGUCCGUGAUCUCAUCCGGGACUCCGAACAACCUUCGGUACAUCAAAUCACAUAAACUCAUAAUACGAAUCGUCAUCGAACGUUAAGUGUGCGGACCCUACGGGUUCGAGAACUAUGUAGACAUGACCGAGACACCUCUCCGGUCAAUAACCAAUAGUCAUAUUGGCUCCUACAUAUUCUACGAAGAUCUUUAUCGGUCAAACCGCACAACAACAUACGUUGUUCCCUUUGUCAUCGGUAUGUUACUUGCCCGAGAUUCGAUCGUCGGUAUCACCAUACCUAUUUCAAUCUCGUUACCGGCAAGUCUCUUUACUCCUUCCAUAAUGCAUCAUCCCGCAACUAACUCAUUGGUCACAUUGCUUGCAAGCCUUAUAGUGAUGUGCAUUAUCGAGUGGGCCCAGAGAUACCUCUCUGACAAUCGGAGUGACAAAUCCUAAUCUUGAUCUAUGCCAACUCAACAAACACCAUCGGAGACGCCUGUAGAGCAUCUUUAUAAUCACCCAGUUAUGUUGUGACGUUUGAUAGCACACUAAGUGUUCCUUCGGUAUUCGGGAGUUGCAUAAUCUCAUAGUCAGAGGAACAUGUAUAAGUCAUGAUGAAAGCAAUAGCAACAAACUAAACGAUAAUAGUGCUAAGCUAACGGAUGGGUCUUGUCCAUCACAUCAUUCUCUAAUGAUGUGAUCUCGUUCAUCAAAUGAUAACACAUGUCUAUGGCUAGGAAACAUAACCAUCUUUGAUAAACAAGCUAGUCAAGUAGAGGCAUACUACGGACACUCUGUGUGUCUAUGUAUUCACACAUGUACUAAGUUUCCGGUUAAUAUAAUUCUAGCAUGAAUAAUAAACAUUUAUCAUGAUAUAAGGAAAUGUAAAUAACAACUUUAUUAUUGCCUCCAGGGCACAAUUUCCUUCAGUCUCCCAGUUGCACUAGAGUCAAUAAUCUAGAUUACACAGUAAUGAUUCUAACACCCAUGGAGUCUUGGUGUUGAUCAUGUUUUGCUCGUGAGAGAGGCUUAGUCAACGGGUCUGCAACAUUCAGAUCCGUAUGUAUCUUGCAAAUCUCUAUGUCCCCUUCCGACACUUGAUGACGGAUGGAAUUGAAGCGUCUCUUGAUGUGCUUGGUCUUCUUGUGAAAUCUGGAUUCCUUUGCCAAGGCAAUUGCACCAGUAUUGUCACAAAAGAUUUUCAUUGGACCCGAUGCACUACGUAUGACACCUAGAUCGGAUAUGAACUCCUUCAUCCAGACUCCUUCAUUCGCUGCUUCUGAAGCAGCUAUGUACUCCGCUUCACACGUAGAUCCCGCCACGACGCUCUGUUUGGAACUGCACCAACUGAUAGCUCCACCAUUCAAUAUAAAUACGUAUCCGGUUUGUGACUUAGAGUCAUCCAGAUCAGUGUCAAAGCUUCCAUCGACGUAACCAUUUACAACGAGCUCUUUGUCACCUCCAUAAGUGAGAAACAUAACCUUAGUCCUUUUCAGGUAUUUCAGGAUGUUCUUGACCACUGUCCAGUGAUCCACUCCUGGAUUACUUUGGUACCUCCCUACUAUACUUAUAGCAAGGCACACAUCAGGUCUGGUACACAGCAUUGCAUACAUGAUAGAACCUAUGCCUGAGGCCUAGGGAAUGACUUUCAUUUUCUCUCUAUCUUCUGCAGUGGUCGGGCAUUAAGUCUCACUAACCUUCACACCUUGUAACACAGGCAAGAACCCUUUCUUUGACUAAUCCAUUUUGAACUUUUUCAAAAUCUUGUCAAGGUAUGUGCUUUGUGAAAGUCCAAUUAAGCGUAUUUAUGUAUCUCUAUAGAUCUUGAUGUCCAAUAUGUAAGCAGCUUCACCGAGGUCUUUCAUAGAAAAACUCUAGUUCAAGUAUCCUUUUAUGCUAUCCAGAAAUUCUAUAUCAUUUCCAAUCAACAAUAUGUCAUCCACAUAUAAUAUUAGAAAUGCUACAGAGCUCCCACUCACUUUCUUGUAAAUACAGGCUUCUCCAAAAGUCUGUAUAAAACCAUAUGCUUUGAUCACACUAUCAAAACGUUUAUUCCAACUCCGAGAGGCUUGCACCAGUCCAUAAAUGGAUCGCUGGAGCUUGCACACUUUGUUAGCACCCUUUGGAUCGAUAAAACCUUCUGGUUGCAUCAUAUACAACUCUUCUUCCAGAAAUCCAUUCAGGAAUGCAGUUUUGACAUCCAUUUGGCAAAUUUCAUAAUCAUAAAAUGCGGCAAUUGCUAACAUGAUUCGGACAGACUUAAGCAUCGCUACGGGUGAGAAAGUCUCAUCGUAGUCAACUCCUUGAACUUGUCGAAAACCUUUCGCAACAAGUCGAGCUUUGUAGACAGUAACAUUACUGUCAGCGUCAGUCUUCUUCUUGAAGAUCCAUUUAUUCUCUAUGGCUUGCCGAUCAUCGGGCAAGUCAACCAAAAUCCACACUUUGUUCUCAUACAUGGAUCCCAUCUCAAGCCAUUUCGCGGAAUCUGGGUUCAUCAUCCCUUCCUCAUAGUUCGUAGGUUCGUCAUGGUCAAGUAACAUGACAUCUAGAACCGGAUUACCGUACCACUCUGGAGCGGAUCUUACUCUGAUUGACAUACGAGGUUCGGUAGUAACUUGAUCAGAAGCUUCAUGAUCAUCAUCAUUAGUUUCCUCACUAAUUGGUGUAGGAAUCACUGGAACUGAUUUCUGUGAUGAACUACUUUCCAAUGAGGGAGCAGGUACAAUUACCUCAUCAAGUUCUACUUUCCUCCCACUCACCUCUUUCGAGAGAAACUCCUUCUUUAGAAAGGAUCCAUUCUUAGCAACAAAAAUCUUGCCUUCGGAUCUGUGAUAGAAGGUGUACCCAACAGUUUCCUUUGGGUAUCCUAUGAAGACACAUUUCUCCGAUUGGGUUCGAGCUUAUCAGGUUGAAGCUUUUUCACAUAACCAUCGCAGCCCCAAACUUUAACUUGGGUUUCUUGCCAAACCACAGUUCAUAUGGUGUCAUCUCAACGGAUUUAGAUGGUGCCCUAUUUAACGUGAAUGUAGUUGUCUCUAAAGCAUAACACCAAAAUGAUAGCGGUAAAUCAGUAAGAGACAUCAUAGAUCGCACCAUAUCUAAUAAAGUGCGGUUACGACGUUCGGACACACCAUUACGCUGUGGUGUUCCAGGUGGCGUGAGUUGCGAAACUAUUCCACAUUGUUUCAAACAAAGACCAAACUCGUAACUCAAAUAUUCACAUCCACGAUCAGAUCGUAGUAACUUUAUUUUCUUGUUACGAUGAUUUUCCACUUCACUCUGAAAUUCUUUGAACUUUUCAAAUGUUUCAGACCUAUGUUUCAUCAAGUAGAUAUACCCAUAUCUGCUCAAAUCAUCUGUGAAGGUCAGAAAAUAACGAUACCCGCCGCGAGCCUCAACACUUAUUGGACCACAUACAUCAGUAUGUAUUAUUUCCAACAAGACUAUAGCUCGCUCCAUUGUUCUGGAGAACGGAGUCUUAGUCAUCUUGCCCAUGAAGCAUGGUUCGCAAGCAUCAAGUGAUUCCAAAAGCCCAUCAGUAUGGAGUUUCUUCAUGCGUUUUAUACCAAUAUGACCUAAACGGCAGUGCCACAAGUAAGUUGCACUAUCAUUAUUAAACUUAUAUCUUUUGGCUUCAACACUAUGAAUAUGUGUAUCACUACUAUCGAGAUUCAAUAAAAUAGACCACUCAUCAAGGGUGCAUGACCAUAAAAGAUAUUACUCAUAUAAAUAGAACAAUCAUUAUUCUCUUAUUUAAAUGAAUAACCGUCUCGCAUCAAACAAGAUCCAGAUAUAAUGUUCAUGCUUAACGCUGGCACCAAAUAACAAUUAUUCAGGUCUAAAACUAAUCCCGAAGGUAGAUGUAGAGGUAGUGUGCCGACGGCGAUCACAUCGAUUUUGGAACCAUUUCCCACGCGCAUCGUCACCUCGUCCUUAGCCAAUCUUCGCUUAAUCCGUAGCCCUUGUUUCGAGUUGCAAAUAUGAGCAACAGAACCAGUAUUAAAUACCCAGGCACUACUGCGAGCAUUAGUAAGGUACACAUCAAUAACAUGUAUAUCAAAUAUACCUUUCACUUUGCCAUCCUUCUUAUCCGCAAAAUACUUGGGGCAGUUCCGCUUCCUGUGACCAGUCCCUUUGCAGUAGAAGCACUCAAUCUCAGGCUUAGGUCCAGACUUGGGUUUCUUCACUUGAGCAGCACCUUGCUUGCCGUUCUUCUUAAUGUUCCCCUUCUUCCCUUUACCCUUUUUCUUGAAACUAGUGGUCUUGUUGACCAUCAAAACUUGAUGCUCCUUCUUGAUUUCUACCUCCGCAUCCUUUAACAUUGUGAAGAGCUCGGGAAUUGUCUUAUCCAUUCCUUGCAUAUUAUAGUUCAUCACGAAGCUUUUGUAGCUUAGUGACAGUGAUUGAAAAACUCUGUCAAUGACACUAUCAACCGGAAGAUUAACUCCCAGUUGAGUCCAGUGAUUAUGAUACCCAGACAUUUUGAGUAUAUGUUCACUGACAAAACUAUUCUCCUCCAUUUUGCAGCUGUAAAACUUAUUGGAGACUUCAUAUCUCUCAAUCCGGGUAUUUGCUUGAAAUAUUAACUUCAACUCCUGGAACAUCUCAUAUGCUCCAUGACGUUCAAAACGUCGUUGAAGUCCCGGUUCUAAGCCGUAAAGCAUGGCACACUGAACUAUCGAGUAGUCAUCAGCUUUGCUCUUCCAGGCAUUCGCAACGUCCGGCGUUGCUCCUACAACGGGUCUUGCACCUAGCGGUGCUUCCAGGACACAAUUCUUCUGCGCAGCAACGAGGAUAAUCCUCAAGUUACGGACCCAGUCCGUGUAGUUGCUACCAUCAUCUUUCAACUUAGCUUUCUGUAGAAACGCAUUAAAAUUCAACGGAACAGUAGCACGGGCUAUUUAUCUACAACAAACAUAGACAUGCAAAAUACUAUCAGGUACUAAGUUCAUUUUAAAUUAAAGUUCAAUUAAUUAUAUUACUUAAGAACUCUCACUUAGAUAGACAUCUAUCUAUCUAUCUAUCUAUCUAUAUAUAUAUAUAUAUAUAUAUAUACCUAUACUAAUUACAGACUCCCAAGUAAUUACCACGUUAAUUAGAAUUUAUUAGCCAUUCAUCUGAACUAUUACGGUACAGAUCCACCGAUAUAAUUAUUCCAGUUAAGGAAGAGACCUGGUCUCCUAUCCCACGUGGAUGUGAAUCGUCCUCCCCUUGGUCUCUCUUACUCUACGGGAAAAAAACUGGACAUCUCCUUCUAUAUUGAGACGGAGGUCCUCCCUUGGUCUCUCUCUUUUUCCCUCGAGAGCAAAAUCUGAGCAUGAUUGCCUCCUAGAUUUGGCGACCAAAGGUGAAACCGGCAACCCCGUCUCUGAUUUAAUCUGGUGGUGCAUGAUGGACGAGCCGCUUCUGCCUCCACAUGGCCACUUGGGUCUCGGCCGCGUCAUCUAGGCUUUGCAGCUCUGCGGAUCCACUAAACAAAGUAGUGUUUGCACCAUCCAUGUCCGAUUCAUGCAGGCAUCAUCCGUAGAGUUGGCUGGAACCAUGCAUGUACUCUGCUCUGAAUCAGUUGCACUAAUUCUCAGGUAAGCAACGUGAUAUUUCCAUGUGUUGAUUCAAUCUGGAAAAGUCAAGAUCACAAAUUCUUUCAGUGAUGAAUUGAUGAUCGAUGGAAUUUAAUUACAUGAGUAUUGAUCGCCCAGACCUUUUUAGGGACAUUCUAGGAUUUCAAUUUGACAUGAAAUCAAUUUUGUUUCUAUGUGGUACUGACGUACUGUCAUUGCUAGCAUUGUUGAUCUCCAGCAGCAUCGUCCACAGUAGAACGGAUCUCCGUCAGCGUCGGCACCCUCCGUGGAACAUUGUCAUGCUAGCCACCUCACGCUCAGCAUCCUCUCCACCAUGGCAUCCGGUUUGGCCGCAGGAACUAAAUGGUAUUCCAUCACCCGGUUCAGACUGAAAUCCUCUAUUUUUGUGUUGUUUCAGUCAACUAUGUAUUCCUGUAUUGUACCGCUGGGCUCUAGAUUGAAGUCGGCUGAGUUGUUGGUUGGGUCUGAAGAUGCGUUUGUGUUAGACAAUAGUUACAUGCAAAGUAAGUUCUCUACUGUAGGAGGAUAGGAAGAUUUUUUCUACUGUACUGAUAGAUUGAUGGCAGCACCUCAAGCAUGUAACCGUGGGAGUGCAUUAUUUUAUCCUCAUACCUUGCUUUUCUCUAGCAAAAUAUUUUUGUUAUUUCCUUACACUACAUUAUUUUUUCAUCUUUCCUUUGAUAUCUUAACUAUUUAUUUAUUCGUACAAAUGGUAAUCAGUCUUUGUUUACCUAACCUGAAUGUUGUUCUGACCAUAAAUAUGUCCUAAGAAUUAGGGUAAGAAUGAAGCCAAUAACUGUUGAAUGUCUCCAGAUGUAGCUGUUUUAACCAGAAAAAGUUAGUCCAAAAGGUCAAUAAAAUUAUUCCUUUGACCUAUCUACAGAAGUGUAUCGAUCCAUUAAGUUUCCUUGAGAUACGUGACAUAUGUCACAAGUAGCACGUGAAGAGAAUAAUCAGUUCAGUAACUUUCAGUUAGGAUGCCUGCAACAUUGCGAUUUAUAAACAAUGUUUUACCUCUUUCCAUACAUUGGUAUACGAUGCAGUGCCCUCUCUGAAGACACCCAGCACCUCUUCAUUGGUUGCCCUGCAGCUGCUGCAAUUUGGCAACAUCUCGGCAUCUCCCCCCUUUACCAUGGUUCCAACACCUGUGGACAAUCCCCACUCCGGUACUACUUCAUUCUUCAGUCUGGCCUGAGAUUCUACUACCUAUACUUUGGAAAAUUUGGGAAGUAAAAAAUGCAGCUGCAUUUAGGAACGAAAAUCAUAGCCCGUAUGUAGUUAUUAGUAGAUUAUGUAGGGACUUUGAGCUCUAGACUGGCGAUAAAAUAACCGCCUGCCUUGGCGUGACUAUCUCUCUUCACGCAUCUUUGUGACCCUGUAAACUCUCUGUAACACCUUGGUCGUUGGGCCAUUUUUAGAAAUAUAUAUACAUGUGGGGAUUCCACCUGGUGAUUCCUCAAAAAAAGUGAAGGAGAUGCGCCUCACUACCUGUUGCUACACAAACUAAAGGUAACAACCUCAAUUUUUGAUGAAGGGAGUUUAGAUUCACAUGGCUUUUAUUAUUAUUCAAUAUAUAUGUAGAAGCGUGUCACUUCUUAGACCAUUGGUACUUAUAUCAAAACUAGAGACCUUUCAUAUAUAACCAUCUAAUAGCAAUUCAUGUACAGGUUUUGUAUGUGCAAUCCUCUAAUUAAUGUGCUCCAAGAAAAUCAGUUAUGCAAGGUACAGCUCUAUCUAUUGGGAAUUGGUUGCUUCACUAAUUCUUUUGAGUUUGUAUUCAUGUUGUGCUGAUGGUAGUGUUUACAGCAGAGUAUCAAUGCUAAAGGGAUGAUUUAUUCCUAACUGAAAUCCUGUAGCACUCCAUAGAUGCUUCUUUUGUCCUGUCUGACUAAUUAAUUUUUACUGUGCACCUUGAUCCUUAGUUUAAUGGCUACUGAUGUAGUGAAGCACGGGCGCUCGAUUGGUCGGCUGGUUUUAUUCAUACGAGUAACAAGCAUACUGCGAUAGCAGAUAGAGGGUGACACAAUUCUCCGACUGCAAUAAUUUUACUAAAUCAUGCACCACUAGUAGAAAAAGAGGCUUCCAUACGCCCCCAUUAGUCCCCAAAAUAAUCGAACCGCGACAAAAGGGGUCUUUAGUCGCGGUUCGGGAGGAGACCCGCGACCAACUAUCUGGGACCCGCGACCAACUAUCUGGGCCCAGCGCGCUCGGUCGACAGCUGGCGGACGGGAGGGGCUUUAGUCGCGGUUGGCCUGGCCAACCGCGACUAAAGGUCCCCGAAGGCCUUUAGUCACGGUUGGCCAGGCCAACCGGGACUAAAGGCCCAUCCAGCUGGCGGACGGGAGGGGCUUUAGUCCCGGUUGGCCUGGCCAACCGGGACUAAAGGUCCCCGAAGGCCUUUAGUCGCGGUUGGCCAGGCCAACCGGGACUAAAGGCCCAUCCCUAUAUAUAGGACUCAGCUCACUUUACUUCACUUCACUCAGCUCACUGCUUCACAAUAUUCAGAAGGGGGUGGUGGGUUUGCUUUUGGUUCCUCCUAUGCACACAAGGUGUUCGAUGAAAUGCCCGAGAGCCUGAAACAAACAUGAUAUGAAGUGUCCGAGCCACACUUGAGCUUUCUCAUUUAUUUUUCCUCCGCGAUCGCUGUUAGCAACUUGAACCUUUCAUGUGUCAUUGAUAAAAUAUGCAUGUGUGUAGUUCAUUGUUUAAUUUGUAUUAUUUCUAGCUAGUUAGUUUAACAAAUGCAUGAUGGUUAAUUAUAUACUUUAUAUAAUAAUAAUGCAGAUGAAUCGGCAAUGGAUGUACGGUCCCCGACUCUCCGGCGAGUUCACUACGGGUUUGAAAGAUUUCCUCGUAGUGGCAAAUGCGAACAAGCAGCGAGAUUUUAUUAUCUGUCCAUGUGCUGUCUGUAAGAAUCAGAAGGGUUACUCCUCCUCAAGAGAGGUUCACAUGCACCUGCUUCGGCGCGGUUUCAUGCGAAGCUAUAAUUGUUGGACCAAGCAUGGAGAAAGAGGGGUUAGAAUGGAAGAAGAUGAAGAAGGGGAUGAUAUCUAUGACAACUAUCAUGAUCAUUUCGGUGAUACUUUCAUGGAGGAUGAUGCUGAAGGUGGGGAAGGGUUAGGUGAAGGUGAAGAAGAGGCACAUGAUGAGCCCGCUGAUGAUCUUGGUCGGACCAUUGCUGAUGCACGGAGACGCUGCGAAACUGACAAGGAUAGGGAGAAUUUGGAUCGCAUGUUAGAGGAUCACAAAAAGUCGUUGUAUCCAGGAUGCGAUAAUAGUCUGAAAAAGCUGGGCUGCACACUGGAUUUGCUAAAAUGGAAGGCACAGGAAGGUGUAGGUGACUCAUCAUUUGAAAAUUUGCUGAAAAUGUUGAAGAAUAUGUUUCCGAAGAAUAACGAGUUGCCCGCCAGUACGUACGAAGCAAAGAAGGUUGUCUGCCCUCUAGGUUUAGAGGUUCUGAAGAUACAUGCAUGCAUUAACGACUGCAUCCUCUACCGCGGUGAAUACGAGAAUUUGAAUGAAUGCCCUGUAUGCACUGCAUUGCGUUAUAAGAUCAGAGGCGAUGACCCUGGUGACGAUGUUGAGGGCGAGAAACCCAGGAAGAGGGUUCCCGCCAAGGUGAUGUGGUAUGCUCCUAUAAUACCACGGUUGAAACAUCUGUUCAGGAACGAAAAGCAUGCCAAGUCGUUGCGAUGGCACAAAGAGGACCGUAAGUCCGACGGGGAGUUGAGGCACACCGCUGAUGGAACGCAAUGGAGAAAGAUCGACAGAGUGUUCAAAGAUUUUGCAGCUGACGCAAGGAACAUAAGAUUUGGUCUAAGUACUGAUGGCAUGAAUCCUUUUGGCGAGCAGAGCUCCAGCCAUAGCACCUGGCCCGUGACUCUAUGCAUCUACAACCUUCCUCCUUGGUUGUGCAUGAAGCGGACGUUCAUUAUGAUGCCAGUGCUCAUCCAAGGCCCUAAGCAACCCGGCAACGACAUCGAUGUGUACCUAAGGCCAUUAGUUGAAGAACUCUUACAGUUGUGGGCCAGACCUGGUGUACGUGUCUGGGAUGAGCACAAAGGAGAGGAAUUUGACCUACGAGCGUUGCUUUUUGUAACCAUCAACGAUUAGCCUGCUCUCAGUAACCUUUCGGGACAGACAAAUAAGGGAUACAAUGCAUGCACGCACUGCUUGCAUGAGACUGAAAGUGUACGUUUGGUUAAUUGUAAGAAGAACGUGUACCUGGGUCAUCGUCGAUUUCUUCCCCAAAAUCAUAACGUAAGAAAGAAAGGCAAGCAUUUCAACGGCAAGGCAGAUCACCGGCCGAAGCCUGCGGAACGUACUGGUGCUGAGAUAUUUGAUAUGGUCAAGGAUUUGAAAGUCAUCUUUGGAAAGGGUCCUGGCGGACAAUCAGUUCCGCGGGGAGUUGACGGGCACGCACCCAUGUGGAAGAAGAAAUCUAUAUUUUGGGAGCUAGAAUAUUGGAAAGUCCUAGAUGUCCGCUCUGCAAUCGACGUGAUGCAUGUUACGAAGAAUAUUUGCGUGAACCUGCUAAGCUUCUUGGGCGUGUAUGGGAAGACAAAUGAUACAAAGGAAGCACGGCAGGACCAGCAACUUUUGAAAGACCCAGAUGACCGGCAUCCGGAAUGGUUUCAAGGUCGUGCCAGCUACGCUCUUACCAAAGAAGAGAAGGUCAUUUUUUUGAAUGCCUGAGCAGUAUGAAGGUCCCGUCUGGCUUCUCGUCGAAUAUAAAGGGAAUAAUAAACAUGGCGGAGAAAAAGUUCCAAAACCUGAAGUCUCACGACUGCCACGUGAUUAUGACGCAAUUGCUUCCGAUUGCUUUGAGGGGGCUCCUACCGGAAAAUGUUCGAGUAGCCAUUGUGAAGCUAUGUGCAUUCCUCAAUGCAAUCUCUCAGAAGGUAAUCAAUCCAGAAAAUCUACCACAGUUACAGAACGAUGUGGUCCAAUGCCUUGUCAGUUUCGAGUUGGUGUUCCCACCAUCCUUCUUCGAUAUUAUGACGCACCUCCUGCUCCACCUAGUCGAAGAGAUUUCCAUUCUCGGUCCUGUAUUUCUACACAAUAUGUUCCCCUUUGAGAGGUUCAUGGGAGUAUUAAAGAAAUAUGUUCGUAACCGUGCUAGGCCAGAAGGAAGCAUCGUCAAGGGCUAUGGAAAUGAGGAGGUAAUUGAGUUCUGUAUUGACUAUGUUCCUGACCUUAAGCCGAUUGGUAUUCCUCAAUCGCGGCACAAGGGGAGACUAAGUGGAAAAGGCACGAUCGGAAGGAAAUCAACGAUAUGUAUGGACGGUCAUUCUAUGACUGAAGCACACCACACAGUUCUGCAAAAUUCCAGCUUGGUGGCUCCGUUCUUCGAGCAGCACAAGAAUAUUUUACGCUCGGACAACCCGGGGAAGCCUGAAUCCUGGAUUAGAAAGGCCCACAUGGAGACUUUCGGCAGUUGGUUGCGAAAACAUUUAAUGAAUGACAAUGAUGUUGGAGAUCAGCUGUACAUGUUGGCCAAGAAACCAUCUUCGACUAUAACGAUUUUCCAAGGGUACGAGAUAAAUGUGAAUACAUUUUACACCAUCGCCCAAGAUAAAAAGAGCACCAACCAAAACAGUGGUGUCCGCUUUGAUGCAGCAACCGAGAAUGGGCGAAAGGUCACAUAUUAUGGUUACAUAGAGGAAAUAUGGGAACUUGACUAUGGACCCUCCUUUAAGGUCCCUUUGUUCCGGUGCAAAUGGUUCAAGCUAACAGGAGGUGGGGUAAAGGUGGACGAGCAAUACGGAAUGACAAUGGUGGAUUUCAACAAUCUUGGUUACCUUGACGAACCAUUCGUCCUUGCCAAAGAUGUCGCUCAGGUUUUUUAUUUGAAGGACAUGAGUAGCAAACCGAGGAAACGGAAAGAUAAGAAAACGAUCAGUACAUCAUGCGAUGAUCCAAAGCGCCACAUUGUUCUUUCAGGGAAAAGAAACAUCGUGGGAGUGGAGGACAAGACAGACAUGUCAGAAGAUUAUAAUAUGUUUGGUGAAAUUCCGCCCUUCAAAGUGAACACUGACCCAAGCAUUAAGUUAAAUGAUGAGGAUGCUCCAUGGAUACGGCACAAUCGUAAGCAAGCAGGGACACAAGGGAAGAAUUNNNNNNNNNNNNNNNNNNNNNNNNNNNNNNNNNNNNNNNNNNNNNNNNNNNNNNNNNNNNNNNNNNNNNNNNNNNNNNNNNNNNNNNNNNNNNNNNNNNNNNNNNNNNNNNNNNNNNNNNNNNNNNNNNNNNNNNNNNNNNNNNNNNNNNNNNNNNNNNNNNNNNNNNNNNNNNNNNNNNNNNNNNNNNNNNNNNNNNNNNNNNNNNNNNNNNNNNNNNNNNNNNNNNNNNNNNNNNNNNNNNNNNNNNNNNNNNNNNNNNNNNNNNNNNNNNNNNNNNNNNNNNNNNNNNNNNNNNNNNNNNNNNNNNNNNNNNNNNNNNNNNNNNNNNNNNNNNNNNNNNNNNNNNNNNNNNNNNNNNNNNNNNNNNNNNNNNNNNNNNNNNNNNNNNNNNNNNNNNNNNNNNNNNNNNNNNNNNNNNNNNNNNNNNNNNNNNNNNNNNNNNNNNNNNNNNNNNNNNNNNNNNNNNNNNNNNNNNNNNNNNNNNNNNNNNNNNNNNNNNNNNNNNNNNNNNNNNNNNNNNNNNNNNNNNNNNNNNNNNNNNNNNNNNNNNNNNNNNNNNNNNNNNNNNNNNNNNNNNNNNNNNNNNNNNNNNNNNNNNNNNNNNNNNNNNNNNNNNNNNNNNNNNNNNNNNNNNNNNNNNNNNNNNNNNNNNNNNNNNNNNNNNNNNNNNNNNNNNNNNNNNNNNNNNNNNNNNNNNNNNNNNNNNNNNNNNNNNNNNNNNNNNNNNNNNNNNNNNNNNNNNNNNNNNNNNNNNNNNNNNNNNNNNNNNNNNNNNNNNNNNNNNNNNNNNNNNNNNNNNNNNNNNNNNNNNNNNNNNNNNNNNNNNNNNNNNNNNNNNNNNNNNNNNNNNNNNNNNNNNNNNNNNNNNNNNNNNNNNNNNNNNNNNNNNNNNNNNNNNNNNNNNNNNNNNNNNNNNNNNNNNNNNNNNNNNNNNNNNNNNNNNNNNNNNNNNNNNNNNNNNNNNNNNNNNNNNNNNNNNNNNNNNNNNNNNNNNNNNNNNNNNNNNNNNNNNNNNNNNNNNNNNNNNNNNNNNNNNNNNNNNNNNNNNNNNNNNNNNNNNNNNNNNNNNNNNNNNNNNNNNNNNNNNNNNNNNNNNNNNNNNNNNNNNNNNNNNNNNNNNNNNNNNNNNNNNNNNNNNNNNNNNNNNNNNNNNNNNNNNNNNNNNNNNNNNNNNNNNNNNNNNNNNNNNNNNNNNNNNNNNNNNNNNNNNNNNNNNNNNNNNNNNNNNNNNNNNNNNNNNNNNNNNNNNNNNNNNNNNNNNNNNNNNNNNNNNNNNNNNNNNNNNNNNNNNNNNNNNNNNNNNNNNNNNNNNNNNNNNNNNNNNNNNNNNNNNNNNNNNNNNNNNNNNNNNNNNNNNNNNNNNNNNNNNNNNNNNNNNNNNNNNNNNNNNNNNNNNNNNNNNNNNNNNNNNNNNNNNNNNNNNNNNNNNNNNNNNNNNNNNNNNNNNNNNNNNNNNNNNNNNNNNNNNNNNNNNNNNNNNNNNNNNNNNNNNNNNNNNNNNNNNNNNNNNNNNNNNNNNNNNNNNNNNNNNNNNNNNNNNNNNNNNNNNNNNNNNNNNNNNNNNNNNNNNNNNNNNNNNNNNNNNNNNNNNNNNNNNNNNNNNNNNNNNNNNNNNNNNNNNNNNNNNNNNNNNNNNNNNNNNNNNNNNNNNNNNNNNNNNNNNNNNNNNNNNNNNNNNNNNNNNNNNNNNNNNNNNNNNNNNNNNNNNNNNNNNNNNNNNNNNNNNNNNNNNNNNNNNNNNNNNNNNNNNNNNNNNNNNNNNNNNNNNNNNNNNNNNNNNNNNNNNNNNNNNNNNNNNNNNNNNNNNNNNNNNNNNNNNNNNNNNNNNNNNNNNNNNNNNNNNNNNNNNNNNNNNNNNNNNNNNNNNNNNNNNNNNNNNNNNNNNNNNNNNNNNNNNNNNNNNNNNNNNNNNNNNNNNNNNNNNNNNNNNNNNNNNNNNNNNNNNNNNNNNNNNNNNNNNNNNNNNNNNNNNNNNNNNNNNNNNNNNNNNNNNNNNNNNNNNNNNNNNNNNNNNNNNNNNNNNNNNNNNNNNNNNNNNNNNNNNNNNNNNNNNNNNNNNNNNNNNNNNNNNNNNNNNNNNNNNNNNNNNNNNNNNNNNNNNNNNNNNNNNNNNNNNNNNNNNNNNNNNNNNNNNNNNNNNNNNNNNNNNNNNNNNNNNNNNNNNNNNNNNNNNNNNNNNNNNNNNNNNNNNNNNNNNNNNNNNNNNNNNNNNNNNNNNNNNNNNNNNNNNNNNNNNNNNNNNNNNNNNNNNNNNNNNNNNNNNNNNNNNNNNNNNNNNNNNNNNNNNNNNNNNNNNNNNNNNNNNNNNNNNNNNNNNNNNNNNNNNNNNNNNNNNNNNNNNNNNNNNNNNNNNNNNNNNNNNNNNNNNNNNNNNNNNNNNNNNNNNNNNNNNNNNNNNNNNNNNNNNNNNNNNNNNNNNNNNNNNNNNNNNNNNNNNNNNNNNNNNNNNNNNNNNNNNNNNNNNNNNNNNNNNNNNNNNNNNNNNNNNNNNNNNNNNNNNNNNNNNNNNNNNNNNNNNNNNNNNNNNNNNNNNNNNNNNNNNNNNNNNNNNNNNNNNNNNNNNNNNNNNNNNNNNNNNNNNNNNNNNNNNNNNNNNNNNNNNNNNNNNNNNNNNNNNNNNNNNNNNNNNNNNNNNNNNNNNNNNNNNNNNNNNNNNNNNNNNNNNNNNNNNNNNNNNNNNNNNNNNNNNNNNNNNNNNNNNNNNNNNNNNNNNNNNNNNNNNNNNNNNNNNNNNNNNNNNNNNNNNNNNNNNNNNNNNNNNNNNNNNNNNNNNNNNNNNNNNNNNNNNNNNNNNNNNNNNNNNNNNNNNNNNNNNNNNNNNNNNNNNNNNNNNNNNNNNNNNNNNNNNNNNNNNNNNNNNNNNNNNNNNNNNNNNNNNNNNNNNNNNNNNNNNNNNNNNNNNNNNNNNNNNNNNNNNNNNNNNNNNNNNNNNNNNNNNNNNNNNNNNNNNNNNNNNNNNNNNNNNNNNNNNNNNNNNNNNNNNNNNNNNNNNNNNNNNNNNNNNNNNNNNNNNNNNNNNNNNNNNNNNNNNNNNNNNNNNNNNNNNNNNNNNNNNNNNNNNNNNNNNNNNNNNNNNNNNNNNNNNNNNNNNNNNNNNNNNNNNNNNNNNNNNNNNNNNNNNNNNNNNNNNNNNNNNNNNNNNNNNNNNNNNNNNNNNNNNNNNNNNNNNNNNNNNNNNNNNNNNNNNNNNNNNNNNNNNNNNNNNNNNNNNNNNNNNNNNNNNNNNNNNNNNNNNNNNNNNNNNNNNNNNNNNNNNNNNNNNNNNNNNNNNNNNNNNNNNNNNNNNNNNNNNNNNNNNNNNNNNNNNNNNNNNNNNNNNNNNNNNNNNNNNNNNNNNNNNNNNNGAAAACCAAAAGAAAGAAGAAAAAAAAGGAAGAAGAAAAAAAGGAAGAAGAAAAAAGGAAGAAGAAAAAAAAGGAAGAAGAAAAAAAGAAAGAAGAAAGAAAGAAGAAAGAAAAAGGAAGAAGAAAAAAAGAAGAAAGAAAAAGGAUUGCUAGAUAAUCUUAUGUUUUAAUUCCUCCUCCUCUAUGUCCCCUUAAUCUUAUUUUUUAAUUCCUUUAUACUUAAAGAAUUUUUACUACAUGCAGGAGUGACAUAUGGCAGACGAUAGAGCCGAGCCACUUAGGGAUCCGGAGGCUGAACGUUAUUUAAUGGGCAUCAUCAACAACGAGAUUCCUUAUGUGCCGGGCUCUGAAUAUGAGCAAGAAGAGGAUGUAGUCUCUUCUUUUCUGAACCUUGACGGUGGAACAGAGAUUGUCGAUGAUCAAGAAGGUGAAGGAACGGACAUUGUCGACGGAGGUCAACCGUCAACAAACGACGAUCUCGAAUUGCAAGUAGCAACCACCUCCGGCGAGGUAUAUAUAUACAUUGAGCCUCUCGUGAUACAAACUUACUGAAAUGUGAAUACAUAUGUAUUAACGCGCGCGACUCUCUUUCUUUUUUUAGCCCUCCGGAUCGAGUACGACAAAGCGUGGCAAAUCCAAGGCGAUGAAAACAGGAGAAACAUAUGCCAUUGAGUUUGUCAGUGAAACCGGCAAGCCCCUACAGCACACCUCAAAGUUUAUCAACCAAUGCGGAGUCGUUGUUAGAGACAACGUCCCGAUCACCGUCCAGGAAUGGAAGGAGCCAAAGAAGGCACGUCUUGGUUUCAGUUUUGUCGACAAGAGAACGAAAAAGGAUUGCUGGAGAAAGCUUAUGGAACAUUUCAUUCUACCUCCGGAAUACAACAAAGUCGAUGAAUUCGGUAAAGAGGUUCCGGGUGGACGUCAGAGGAGGAGGCUAGUUAAAGAGUUCGCUCUUCAGAAGAUGGGCGAAGCAUUCCGGAACUUUAAGAAAAAUUUAACCCGUGACUAUGUCAACAAGGGCAAGACUCCGGAUUUCAAUGGACAACAUGAGAAACUGAAAGAUGAUUGGCCAGAAUUUGUGAGGCGAAAGCAAUCGGAGCAUUUCAAGGAAAUAUCGAAAAAAAUAAGGAUAAUGCGAGUAAGAAAAAGUUCCAUCAUAUUAUGGGGCCAGGAGGAUACCGCCUUUCGGAGCCUAGGUGGCAGAAGAUGGAGGAGGACCUGAGGGUGCGAGGAAUCCCUCUAGGUACAGAGGGAUGGGACCCAAGGGCCAAAAGCUGGUGGUACGGGCAUGGGGGAUCGCUAGACCCGGAGACAGGGGUGUGUGUUCACCGGCAGAGACAGUUUGCUCCCACCCAAGCCCUUAUUGACGCAAUGACCCAAGCUCAAGAGGGCUUGAUCAAGUUCAACAGAGAGAAAGACGCACUGACAACAGCCCUCGGGAAUGAUGAACACGGAGGACGUGUACGAGGCAAAGGCAAAGUUCCGUGGAAAGUAGGGUUUUCCCAGGACAAUGACACUCGUACUGUUACAGAAGCCGUAAGAGAAAGACGGACCGGGAUGCAGAUCUUAUGACGAAGUUUACAUCGGAACUCCAUCAGUUGAAGCAGACCGUGCAUGAACUAGUAAAAGAAAAAUCGGCUGCAGGGCCACAUGAAGAUCAUGAAGCGGAUCGCGGAAGCCAGCAGCGGAGAAGCAGCGUGGCUUCCACGGAUGCCCCGUCUGGUGCUAGUGCACCGAUGAUCGAGAUUCGUGCACCGGAGCCUCACUACCCCGUGGAUGAUGUAAAGGAGAUGAAAGAAUGUGAUCUGCAUUAUCCCGUGGGGAACGUUUCCACGAAGGUAGCUAGCGGCAGUGCUUUACCCUGUACACCUGGAGCACUCCACCACAACAACCCCAUUGCAUAUGGCUAUGCUCGUGUCGCGGUGGAAGACAUAGUCCAAGGGUUUGAGGACCUGGAGAUUGACAAACCUACACCCGAAGGGGAGAGAAGACUUGGAGAUGUCAAGCGCCAGAUCAUUCUAUGGAAAAAGAAGUACAUAGUGUUUCCAGGCGACGCGCCAAGGCUAGCAAGUCCACCCCCCUCCGAUGGUGGUGGUGGUGGCGGUGGUGGCGGUGGUGGUGGUCGUGGUGGUUCACCUACACCUCCUUCACGCCAUUCGACGCCGUCCCCCGAUCCACAACCUCCGGCGGGUACGACGCCCCCCAAUCCUCCUCUGGCGGGUACGACGCCCCCCAAUCCACCUCCGGCGAAGAAGCAGAAGCAGGAGGACAGCAAGGAAACCCGCUCCUGGACUAUUAACCCGGACCCUUAUGUACCUAAGACCACAAGGGUACCGGAGCCAUCACUGAAGCCUCUCCUCCCAAGGCCUGGGGAACUUAGUGAAGCUGAAACCAAAUUGGCCACGUCUGCUGAUUAUGAGAAAUGGAAGGCGGAUAUGAAGGCAAUAAAAGAGCCUGAGCCCAAGCAAGUAUUCACUGAGAAGCAAAAGAAGUGGGCUAAGGAUUUUUUGACGACACCGUCCCAAGCCGAGCUGAAUAUGCCUGACGACUAUGGACAUGAAAUUCGUAGGCAAGCAAAAAUAUUGAAGGAGGAGAAAGAAGAAAGUAAAAAAAGCAGGAAACAAGUUGACCAGCUCGGGAUGCAGAAGAAACAAUCGAUCCCCCCGCUCAUAGUGAAAGCCGGUCCGGAAGAGGACCCCGAGAUCAUAGCAGCUGCGGCAGCACUUGGAUUGACUGUAGCGAGUGCCAUGAAACAAGCGUCCGAGAUGGGUUUGACUCUUCGUGCCUUCUUAGGCCUUGAGGAUGCGCCAGUAUGUGAGAUAGCAUUACAAUAUGUGCGGAAUGGGCCUCUCGUCGAGCCUGCGCGGGAGAAGAGUCUACCGCCACAAAUGCGAAAUCUGCUACGUUGGUACAAGCAAUUCAUAACAUGGGCCGACAAAGAAUAUAUUUAUGCGGAUGUUACAGAGGAGCAUCACACCAAACGGUACUCUGUACAAGUUCAUAUGAGUGAAUUGUUCCAGCUGUUCAAUCUGCGCGACCUCGACAAAUCUAUGUUGAGUUGCUACGCUCUGUAAGUGAUUUAUUUCUACCUCAUCUCGUUCUUCAUUGCCUGCACUAUAUAUAUAUAUAUAUAUAUAUAUAUAUAUAUAUAUAUAUAUAUAUAUAUAUAUAUAUAUAUAUAUUGUCCUAACUAUAUUGUUGCGUACGCUAUUAUGCAUAUUGAAGAUUUGGGAAUGCAAAAUAAGAAACAUCCAUGAUGUUGGGUUCAUUGACCCACAUAUCGUUAAUGGACAUGUGUUACAAUAUCACCCCGAAGACGUGGAGAAAGACUUGUACAAGUUUCUUAGAAAGCAUCAACUCAAAAGUCAUAUUCUANNNNNNNNNNCUAUUAUGCAGAUUGAAGAUUUGGGAAUGCAAAAUAAGAAACAUCCAUGAUGUUGGGUUCAUUGACCCACAUAUCGUUAAUGGACAUGUGUUACAAUAUCACCCCGAAGACGUGGAGAAAGACUUGUACAAGUUUCUUAGAAAGCAUCAACUCAAAAGUCAUAUUCUAUUUCCUUACCAUUUUGGGUGAGUGUUUCUCUCUUGUGCCCAUUCUUUUUUGUUUACUCCAUGCAUGGUAUGUCUAAUCGAUGAGUUAUGCAUGACUGUGCAUGUAACGUGUCCGCAGGUUCCACGGGAUUCUGCUAAAUAUUUAACUUCACACCUCCAGAGUUCUAAUCAUGGACUCUAUGGAUUCGGAUCCAAAGCGUUGGGCCGACAUGAGAAAAAUGCUGCAAAAGUAAUUAUUUUCAAUCAUUUGAGCUCUAUAUCGAUCGGUCUCUUUCGUUCAUUUCCUAAUAUCAAGUAACUAAUAACUCCCUUGUUCAUUUAAUUUUCUUUGCCCUGUAGGGUUUGGAGACGGUUCUCAGAAGAAAUUGUCAGUGAAUUCAAACAUGAGCUAGAUUUUAGAAGGUUAGUUAAUGUGGAUAAGCAGCCACCGGGGACCAAUCUAUGUGGAUACUAUGUUUGUGAGAACAUCUGGAGACUAACCUCUGAGCGGAAGGCAUUGGAUAGCGUGCGGAAGGCGACGGAUAACUUGCGGAGGAGGCUUAGUCCAGAAGCUCGCUUCCGACCAAUUUAAGAUGAAUUAGCAGGAUUUUUCUUGAGGGAAGUCAUCAAUCCUAAAGGAGAACACUAUACCGAGGACGCAGACAUUUAUAUGCAUACCCGAGAUUGAAACUUGUUCGAAGUUGUAUAUGGUCCUCCAUCCUAAUUGUGUAUGGAAACUUGUUCGAAGUUGUAUAUGGUCACCCGAGAUUGAAUAUAUAUUAUAUAUUCCUCUUGAAUUCUUCUUGUUUGAAAUUUCAUAUGCAUGUAUAUAGUAUCGUAGAAUAUGUGUACUGAAACUUCAUCAAAAUUAAAACAAAACACAAAAUAAAA